UUUUUUUGGUAGAGGGCUCUGGUGCAGAUGUGUUCCUUGACUGAGAUGGCACUAAGGCACUUUCAGGAUUUGGAGAUAAACAUCACCCCAUGCAACUUGUGAGUCAAGUCUGCUGCAUGCUAUGAUUAUCAUUUUUCCAUCAAUUUCCAAAAGAUGUUCUUGAUGCAAAUGGGAAUGGGUCAAUUUUUAUGUCAAAAGUAAAGUUCCUACCAUAUAACACCAUCCUUCAAGGUUGGGCUGGUUAUUUUGCAAAUGCUGAUUUUGUUGGUGAAAACUGUCAUGCAGCUUCCAAGUGUAUAUAUCUGGAUCUGCUGAGUUUGCAAGGUCUGAUUUUAUCUGGAUAUCCUGUAAUCUUCAUUUGAUGUUAGUAAUUCUGCUCUCGACACAACAGAGGUGGAUUAAGAUGAUUCUUGAGCAGCUCCUUCUUGCGAUUAUAUCAUUCCUAUUUGUGGAGCAGUGUUGAUGAUACACAUUGGACACAAGUUCUGUUGCCUUGGUUUUUCUUGGUUGUCUAAAAUUUUUGUGGUACAAUUGUAUAUCAUUUUCUUGAUCCUUCUAAAGGAGUGUAACUUCUGGGCUUCUCAUAGGCCUUGUAAUUUCAACUUGCUGCCUAAGUCCCCAGAACUCAGGUCCAAUUGAGCAUCCACCUCUGUGUCAUUUAGUUUUUGUUUAAGCACCUCUAGGUUGGUCUGGCCACUCAUAAUUGUUUAGAUGUUUUUGAGGCAGUAAUAAACUCAAACAUGCCAUUUAUGUAAUGCCAAGCUAUUAUUCUCAGGAGAUGUUGUAGGCAAUUAUUAGUUAAAGCUAUCUUAUAUUUCAUUACAUAGAUAGAGCUUAGAAGUUAAAUCUACUCUUUUCUUUAUUUUCCUGAAAACAUUAAUGUUUUAUUUUUUAUGCUGUUUUUAGGGCAGUGCCAAAAUUCAAUGAGGUUAUUAUGAUCUCAAAAUGUAAUUCUGCCAAGAAUUUUUGUGUAUGAUAGUAUGAUUGAAGCAUCUUUUCUUAUAUUUUUGUUACUUGAGGGCUUUGUGGGAGAACAUUGCUUCUCACUAAAUAUGAUGCUUUGUGAAGGACAAGAUAUUGCAUCUUGAACUAGAAGUAAGGUGCUCAUUGGUUAGGGUUGUGCUGGUGUCUGGGAUUAUGUUGUCAAGCCUAAACCCUAUUGAUGCCCUACCACUCCAUUACCCAUAUAGUUGGAUACACACUUAAGAUUGUUUUUGGUUCACGGCUGUUGGCGGGGUAAGGUUAGGUUGGAAUUGAUCCAGGUCAACUUGGAAUACAUGCAAGUUGGUUUGGAUUUGGGUUAUCAGUCAUGUAUAUCUUUUCCCUUCUCUAUUAAAAAUUAGAUUCUCCAGCUAGUGCUUUUCCAUUUUUUAUCUUGUGGGGAUGUCGCACUUGAUCAGGGGAUUCAUUUUGAGGCGGACGUGCAGCCAAGUAUGUUUUAGCUUUUGAUUUGCUUCUCUGGAGAAUCUAUAUAUAUGAUGGAGCUUAUACAGUUAUACUCAUCUCUCUCAGAACCUUUGAACAAAGAAGUGAGAGAUGAAACCACCAAGCCCAUAUUAAGUCUUCUGUUGAGGCCGAGACAUCAGCAUUUGCAGAUUCAAAUACCACAAGAAAAAGCCAAACACAGUUUUAGACAAGAGCUAGUUGUUGGUUGGAUGCAGGGAAAGGCAAUGGAGAUGGAAAUGUACACAGGCAUCAUACCAUACCUUUGUGGUAUGUUUAAUCAAUCAAGGCGUAGGUGGGGAUUUCAAAGGCUUAGGAUGGGAGACUUGCCUGAACCUGGUCCGAUUCAUCGGAAAUUCCGAAUUGCUGGCAUGGUAGUCAUCCUACUGAGGAAGUGGAGGAAGGAAAGCGAGGCUGGGCAUAUGGCUGAGGUGUAAUGUGCUUCUCUCCAGUUUAAAAUUAGUAGUAGUUGAAUAUGCUUAUGUAAACCAAUUUGGUAUUGCAACAACUUUUACCUAUGGUGUGGAUGUGGCAUGUGGAGUGAGAAUUUGAUUUGGCAUGGCAAUUGAUUCUUUAUUUGAUAUGGAGAGUGGCGUUUAGUUUUUUACAUCUUAUCCUUACAUGUCCAGGGAAUUUUCUCAAGACAGAAAUUGUCCAAAACAAUUUCAAUUAUCUCAAAAAAAAAAAAAAAAAAAAAUCAGCUAAAGUGUCUAUUCAAGAUAUUUUUUCUUUUCUCUCCUUACUUUUAAUAAUAUAUUUUUAUAAUAAUAAAAUUAUUUAAAAUAUAUGUUUUAUCAAACUAAUUAAUUUUAUGUACUAAACUCAAUGUAUAAAAAUAAUUAUUAAUUAAUGUGGAUGUAUUAUUUAUAAAUAUAAUAUUAUCAAUUAAUUAUUUUAUAUAUUAUUUCUAAAUAAUAAUAUUUAUAAAAAUAUAAAUUAUGUUGAUCAGUAAUGUAUUGAAAUAAUACUAUUUUAUAUUAAAUUAGAUACUAAUUAAAAAAUAUUUUGAUCUUUAUCUUGAAUUUAAUUAUUUUUACAAAUAAAAACUAAUUUUGUGUUAUUAUACAUAUUUUUUUUUUUUGUUUUCUUCAAUUAAACUAUAUCAUUUUUAAUUUGUUACAUAAAACAUUUACAAACUUGAAAAAAAGUUAAAACAGUUGUGGAUUUUAUUUUAUUCAAAAUUUUAAAAAUAAGCCUAUUAUCAGUUUUAUUUUAUUUCGAGUGUAUUAAAUUAAAAUUUUAAAAUGAAUAAUUUUUAAUUUGCUUUAAUUGUUAAAUUAAUUUUAUCAGACAAAAUUUAAAAUUUAACUAUUUUAAUCAUAAUUUGAAAACCAUUUCAAGGUAAAAAGAAUAAAAAAAAAUAGAAAAAUAAAUCAUUUCUUAUUUUAUAACUCAUUGAUAUAAAUUAAUUUUGAAUAAAAAAUUAGAUUAAGAAAAUGAAUCAUUAUUCAAUUUGAUAUAAAAUAGUAAUUACUAAUUAUUAUGAAUAAAAUAAUAAAUAAAGUUUAGAAAUUAAAAUAUUUAAUGGAACAAAAAAGUAUAAAACUAAAUUAGUUUUUAAUUUUAAAAAUAGUUUAUUAAAUUAAUUUAAAGAUAAAAUUCAAAAUAAAUACCAAAAUUUUAUUUUUAAUCAAUAUAUAAUUUAAUAUAAAAUAAUAUUUUAUUAAUAUGGGACAAUUAUAUUCAUCCUAAAUGUAAUUUAUACUUUUAUAAAUGUUAUUAUUUAUAAAUAAUAUAUCCAAAAUAAUUAUAAUUAUUUUUAUAUAAUAAAUUUAAUAUAUAAAAUUAAUUAAUUUUAUAAUACAUAUAUUUUAAAUAAUUUUAUUAUUAAAAAUAGGAAAACAUUUUAAAAAAACAAGGAAUUGUAUUAUUUAAGAAAAUUGAAAUCAAUUUUUUUUAAAGGAAAUUCUCUCAUGGAAGAUAUGGAUAUAAUCUCUUUCUAUUUUUAAAAGACGAUUUUAACUUAUAAUUUUUAUAUUUUAGAAAUCUCUAAAUAAUUUUUAUUUUUUUAAGAAAUUGUUUUUUGAUAGAGACUUUUUUUUUUAUUUAUUAAUUUGGAGUUUACAUGAUCCCUUUUUAUUAAUUUAUUUUACAAAUGAUCAAAAACCCUAUAUUUUGUAAUGGCAUCUUAAGGAAUAUUUCAUAUUUAUUUCAUUGGCACAUUUUUAUUUUCUUUUAAUAAUUUGGUGGAAUAGGUGAACUCUGCUGUAGCCUCGCUGGGUAAGCUUGGAUGGAGCUUUCUGCGCCCUCAGCCCUUCUGAGCUACUGUUCUUCGUCACAGGGCCUACAACCACUGAAAGUUAGGGACAGGGUUUCAUACCGAACUCUCGCUGCCACACGCUUGAAAGAGACCAGUCUUCUCUCACGCUUGAAAGAGACCAAUUUUCUCUCUACACCUCCUCUAAUGGAUCCCCUGAGGGUAGUCUCUUGCGCGUCAUCGGUCGAUGAGAAUGGCUCUCCGAUAAUGUCUUCCUCCAUCCGCACAGGUCAAAGCCCUAACUUUCUUUCAGUUUAGUUUGAUUUCUGUUUCGGUGCUUUGAAUUUAGCUGAUAUUGAAAAUGAUGUUAAUGUAAUUAGGUCGAAUUGGAGAGGUGAAAAGGGUUACUAAAGAAACCAAUGUAAUGGUCUCAAUGAACUUGGAUGGUUCAGGCGUUGCUCAAAAUGAUACUGGAAUCCCCUUUCUCGAUCAUAUGUUAGAUGUCAGUACUUUUAAUUUAACUUAUGUUUCUGUUAGGGAAUUUGAUUUGGUGACAUUGGUGUUCUUGUUUUUAUUAUUUAUUUAUUUUUUUCUAUAGCAACUUGCCACGCAUGGGCUGUUUGACGUUUGUGUGAAAGCGACCGGUGACACACACAUUGAUGAUCAUCAUACAAAUGAAGAUGUUGCACUUGCGCUCGGAACGGUAAUCCAUCAUAGUUUUUUGGUUAAUCGGUUCAUAUUUCUAUGCCUAUGAGAAAUUGUAUUAGCUUGGUGUAUUUUACAUACAAUCCAAAAAAUGUGUUCAUCUUAACUUUAUAUUGAUCAUUUUAUUGAUGUGUCUUUGUUAUUACAUGUUUAUUUGUAUGUGCUCAUGCUGUGCGGUACAAUCAACUUAUUAAUUCUCCCGGGACACCCUUUCCGCUAAAUGAUUUAUUAACAUGAAUGAUUUGCUUUGACUCUUGCAGAGUUUGCUGCGUGCAAUUGGUUCAAAGGAAGGCAUUUAUCGGUUUGGUGACUUUUCAGCUCCUUUAGAUGAAGCACUAAUUCACGUUUCGCUGGUAUGUUUUAUAUAUAGGGCAGAAAUUUUUGCAAUUAAAUUUGGCGUUUAUGCUUAUAUCAAUAUUGGAAAGAAAACCUAUAAAUAAAAAAGAAUAUCGAAAAGAAAACUAUUUCAUGGCUAUAAUUCAAAGACGGGUUGACUGGAGUAACCCAGAAGUGGGCCAGAUCCUUCAAAUUGUCUUUUAGAGAGUUAUAAUUAGAGGUGAAGUCUUGGCGUAUAUAAAUUGAAUAUGAAAUGGGUUCAAAAGAUAACUUCAAAACUUAGUUUUAUGAUGAGGACUUGCUUUAUCAUAUGUAGUGGACUUUUCAGAUUAAAGGGAGAGCCCUAAGUAUUUAGUGGUGAGCCUUCUGAGGUUUGAGCUUGUAGUGUUAUGUUGUUUUUGGAAGUGUGGUUGUGGUGUAUCACAUAUUUUAUUUACUUCUUUUAAAGGUUUAAUGUAUGUUCUACCGUUUUACCUAUUUAUGUUUCCUCCUUGGUUCAGGAUUUAUCUGGACGUCCACAUUUAAGCUAUGAUUUACAUAUCCCCACUGAGAGAGUUGGAACAUAUGACACUCAGGUAGUUUAUUUCCCUCCCUUCUACUUCCAUAUCAACUAGCUUAACAUUGUCAGUUGUUACUUCCUCACUAGAGGGUUUGAUGGAACAUGUCUUGCAUGGCUUUUGAUUAAAAAUACUUGUUUAGAAAAUAUUUGUUUUUACUGGCCUAUAAUUCAUUGAAUGUACCCAUUGUUGUGCUGUUUAUCAUCAUUGGUCCAUUUACUUUAGUUUUAGGCUAUGUUUGGGUCUCGGAAAAUUGUGAGGGUAAUAAAAUAGAAAGAAAAAAUAGAAGAAAAAAGAAAAUGGAGGAAAAUAAAAACUAGAUUUAAAGUCAAUAAAUUAUUUUUAUCUCUUACUUCAAAUUUAUUUCACUUAUUUAAAUUUUCUACUUAUAGAUUAAUAAUGUGAAAAUGUAUAAUUCUCUAAUAAAUUUUAAUUAUAUUUGAUUUUCUUUCGUAUUUUCCAUAAUAAAACCAACCAUGAGAAAAUCAUUUUCCUCAAAUAUUUUUUUUCUUUCCCUAGCAUUUUCCAGGAACCAAACAUAGUGUUUAGGGAUUCUGGCAUGCUUAUGAGCUAACAUGUUUUCACUGGCAUUCUUAUCUAGUGAAUGCCAAACCCCUGUAUUUGCAUAUUAUUACUAGAAAUGGAUGUAGCAUCUACCCUGAUGUUCUUUUUAGGAUAUUCUAAACAGCUAGCUAUGGAUAAUUUAACUUGACGGUGAGAAUAAAUAAAUAAAUGGUGUAGCAUUGUAUUUUGGGCUUCAUUGCCCAGCACAGCUGUAUAUUCCUUCCUAUGUGCAAGGAAAAGAAAAAGGAGCAAAAAUAAGUGCAACUAGAGAUAAUAGUAGAGUGGUAUUGCUCAAUUAGAAGGCUCUUUGGUUAACCAGUUGUUGGUUAGACAUCCAUUGCUUGAUCUAUGCCUAUUUGGUAUUCUGGAUUUUUCUCAUAAUUUUCAUGUAUGAAUUGUUCAAUGCACCCUCAUCCUUUACUUGUGGUCUUCCAAUUGGGCACUGAGUUGCUAGGUUGUGUCCUUCGUCCCUUUGGAAGUCCUUUUCCAUUCAAGCAAUGCAGUACCACCCAGAUUUUUGUUUUAGUUGCAUUCUGUUCAAAAUGAUUAGUCAUCCUGGGGUACUUGAUUUUCAUUUGCCAUGGAUAUGUUUUGAGUUGGGCAUGUUUCUUCUUGUGCAUUGUAGAUCUCAGGAAUGAUCGCUUGGAUAAUGAAGUCCAAUGUGGAGAACUGAUACAGUGGAGCAUUUGUAAAUUGUGAUGCUCACAGAUCAUAAUAAGAAAGUGAUUAGGAUGUAUUAGGCGUUGAUUCAUUAAUCCAUCAUGUCGAGCAACUAUACACUUAGCUUGAUUUAAAAACCUUCUUGUUGUUUGUACUGAAGCAGUGUUUGGUGUUUGUUUGAUACCACAUGAUUGAAUGACAUGGGUGAUGGUACCUGGUUUAUUUUAGGCACCAUCCAUAUCUGUUAUGACAUCAGAAACUCCUUUUAUUUUUGCCAGUUAAUAUCUAGUUGUGACCUUGAAUUGUUAAAAUCAAGUAUGUGCAUUCAUACAAUCAUUGGUCUUUAUAUCUAAUGUCUUAAAUUAGUGUCUCUAAGUCAUACACAUAGCAAUUAUGCCUUGAUUUGUCACAUUUAAAAGUGGGUACAGUUUAUUCAGUAGACCACAAUUCAUUUAUAACUUAACAGUAGGGUCCCAAAUGAAGGUUUGCGCAUUGAUACCAGCCUUUUUCCUUUCUCUUGUAAGUAUUCUAAGGAUAUUUUUAAUAAUGUUCCCUAACAUCUCUCCCUUGCUUGGAGAAACUUGACUCAGGUGAGUAAAAUAGAUAUACCUCUCAUAAGGGUCAAAAUUGAGACCCCAAAAUUCAUUAAAGCAAUCUAAGUGCAGUCAGAAAGGCUAAAUGGCAUAAUCAACUAUUCAUAGAAACAAUCCUUCGUCUUGAAAACCAUUUUCCAUUCAUACCCGAGCCUUAUCUUAUCCUAACUCAGUGAUAACCACUAUUCAAAUAAGCGUUUGAAAGAUUGUGAAAUGUGUCAUUAAUGUCUAAUAUAUGAUCAAGUUGAUGUAUUGUAAAUAUGUAGUUGAUAUUAACCUAGUUUAUAGCAUGCCAUCAACAUACAUGUGUCACGUGCCAACUAUCAUCCUUUUUAGGUGUGGGCAAAGUUGGUAUGAUACAUGGGCUAAGAGUAGGUGGUGUUUGUUUUUUUGGCUUUUUACUAAAAGCAAUUUGUUUUCAGAAUUUAGGUUGUUUGUUUUUCUACUUUUUCAUAACUUAUUAUAAACUUUUUACUAAAUAGAAAAAGUCAAAAUAUGUAGCUUUUUCUAAAUAGAAAAAAUAACAUAUUGAUUUUUCUUUACUUUUUAGUACUUAAUAGAAAUAAAAUAUUACAAAAACAAACAACUUAAUAUUUAACACUAUUAAGCAUUAAGGUUCUAUUUAGAUAUAAGUAAAAAAACAAACACCACCUAAGACUUACCUGAAUAAACCCUUUAAAAAGCAACUCCUCAACUUGCCUUUUUUACUCUCUGCAUUCUCUAAGGGAUUUAGAAGGUAUGCUGGUUGGUUAGAUAACUGAGAAUCCUACAGCAAUUCAAUGGCAUGGCUAGCACUAAAAAUUAGAAUCUUCUAAGAUUCAAAUCCUUCAAUUUUAAGGUGAUCUUGCCCUUCACAUCCUUCUUGUACCUAAAGCUGCAUGUUUGUUGAGUUAAGGUUAUAGGGGCAUCAUCUACAUAUAUAUAAUUUUUUAAAAUUUGAAAUUUGCUGCAUCUAACUCUCCAUGAUAGGGCCCAUAUGAUCAAACUUUGCUUGUAUGUUCACAUUUAGGACAUCUAAAAAAAAUCAUACCUAAUCUUAGGUAUUGGAUUCUCAUUUGUUUAUCCUUUUAAUUUAUCUAAUGAAACUCAUUGAUUUUUAUCAUAUUUAGUUGGUGGAGCACUUUUUCCAGUCUUUGGUGAAUACUUCAGGCAUGACACUUCACAUUCGACAGGUAUAAUGAGAGUUUCCUAACAUUUAUUGUAGCAAAUAGUAACUCCUCCAAAUAUUCUUGUUAAUUUAGAAAGAAAACACAUCUCCAUUCAAUGGUCUUCAUACUCCUUGAACUUUUUUUCGGAUCAAUUAUAUGUACUUUUACUGACUUUUAUUACAGUCUGAAUUGUGAAAAUUAUUCUAGGAAAUAUUGAGCAUGCUUUCAGCCAUUUUUAGACCUUUUUUUAAUACUUCUUAAUGAUUUCCUUAGGUAGCAACUUAAACGGAUUUACUGAAAUAUUUCCGUAGUCUUUCUACACAAGUUUGACAGAAAAUUUCAAUGUGGUUGAAUGUAGCUUGCUGGAAAAAAUUCUCAUCAUAUUAUUGAGGCAACUUUCAAGGCUUUCGCUAAAGCUCUUCGACAAGCUGUGGAAUAUGACCCACGCCGUCAUGGCACUGUGCCAAGGUUUGGAAUUUUCUUGUUUUAAAUUGACAUAACAUCUCCUUUGAACACCUAUUAAUCCCUAGCAAAGGGUUUCUAUACAAAUCCUGAUACUUUUGAGUCUACAAAAUCACUGGACUGGUUUCAUUAUUGAAUACUUUGAAAUGUAUGACUACUUGGUGUUAAACAUACCACCUGCUUCAGAAUCAAUUAUUUGGUUCCUCAUUUCCAUUUUUCACCUUUGGACUUGCAUAUAAAAUAUGCAUUUUUAAUUGUUAGAAACCACCUCAUAUUUCCUUUAUGACCCAGUUAUUUUAUCUUCCAAUUCUAUGCUAUCCACAUUUCGAGCUAUUGAAUUUGAGGCAAUAUGUGUAUACCAACAGUCUUCUGAAAUAUAACAGCAAGUUCACUAGAAAAAUGACUUAGUGCUCCCAGUCAUUUGUUAAUAUUUGUAUUGGUAGGUAUUCUUUUAGCAUAUUUACUACCCACUCGGUAGAACUAUUUGGAGAAGAUGAUUGUGCUGUCUGUUCAGUACAGUAAUCUCUUCUCACAUUUAUUUGAAAUAACUAUAAAUGUCAUCAAUUUAUAAUUAUGUAUGGCAUAUAAUACUCCACCUGAAAUUGUGAAGCAUAUGUGUGCAGCUCAAAAGGGGUUCUUACGCGUUCUUGAUUUGUGGAGAUCAUGCUCAUGGAGGAUCAUGCUACAAGCAUCCAGAUUCGUCUUGAUGUUUUCUCAUAGUUUUGGACCCAUAAAGAAAUUUAUCAGAUUCGGUGCAAACUUCAAGAGGCAGACAGUUGCUUAACAUUUUAGUAAUUGAAGUAGUGAUAGUGCAAUAUUAAACAAUAAAUUCCUCUUAAAUGUAUUUAGAUUUUUUGGUGUUCCUGUAGGAGAAACUUGUCGGUGUGAAUGUAUAAAACCUAGGUUGCUUGUAAAAUGGCUUUACUCUUUUGUAUCAGCAGUUAAUUUUAUGGUUUUUGAUUAACUAUUGCUGAUCAUUGGGUGCAGUAAUUUGGAUUUGCCUGAGUUGACAGGCUGUGGGUGAAAUUGAGUUGAGUGGAAUUUGAGCUCAUGAACUAAAACUUUGUGUUUACUUUGGCUGUAGGAGUCUCUUUGCACUGGGAAUUCUUCAUACUCUCAUUGAUUAUGAUUCAUUUGCUGAUAUUAAACUGCCUUGCACAAUGAUUUUGAAUACAUAUAUAAAGAUAUGUGGACCUCAUUGAUACAAACAGUUCCAUUAAAACAAAGCAGUGGAAAUUUUUUAUUUGAUACAGAGUAGAUACAUCGAAGUAUAGCAGGCUAGAUUUGCCAUCCUUGACUGUUGUUCUGGACUUAAUGCAACUAUGCAUCUCAUGGCAAGAAACUCAGGCUACAAAAAUUCUUCAGCUGUGUUUAAAUCAUCCAAUAUUUCAGACUUGACCUCUUCUGGGAGUGCAGCAGAUGGGCCUGCCUUUGAGUAGAAGCUGGCUAAAGACCUGAUUGCUUUCUCUAGCAUAGCAUACGAUUCCUGCAAGUGGGAUCACUAGAUCAAGGAUAUGAAGCAAGCAACUAUAAAUUAUUAAAAUUUCAACAGUCUAACAGUUCAUACUUACCAUAAAAUAAAAUUAAAAAAAAAAAUCUAAUUAUCUUUUUAUUAACAUAUUUUAAGUAGGAGCAGUAGAUUUUCUACACAAGUGCCUUUCGAAUUUCCUCUGUAAAGACCUUUCAACUAUAGUAAGUUAGCAAUAUUUCAGAAAGUUUACCAAUCGAUACUAGACAAAACAUGGGUUCAAUAUAAUACCUAAAAAUGGAAAGGUUGACUACUUCAUCAGAAGUAACGCAAGCCUGACAUGAAAGCGUGAUUAUGGUUCUAAAUGGUUACUUCAGUAGAAAAGUUUAAGGGGUGAGUUAAAUAUGUUCCUACUUUUCUACCAAACUGAAUAAUGUUAGCCUCCACAUGUGAUAUGGAUCGUUAGGGUUGCAUCUAGUGAAGAAAUGCUAUUCCUGCUCAUGGACUGCAGAAAGUCCAUGUGUUCAAUAUAGAUUAGAAGGUUUCAAACGAUACCUAGACUCCAAAAGACAUGCAUUGUUACCUCAUUUCCUAAUCUUUCAGCAAAGUGUUCUGUUCUUGUAUGAUAAGCAGUUGAUGAUAACUGGAGAGAGCCUUUAUACUAAAUCAAAAAUAAAAAGGAAAAAGAAAUGAACAUAUAAUGAAAAAAAAAAAAAAAAAACUGUAGGGCACAAGGACUGCUAAUUUAUAUCAAACAAGAUGGAAAUCUCAGUAUAGCCUUUAAACAAGUUUGUAGUUCAAAAUAUCAGUAUCAACUUGAUUUUGUAACAGGGCAGGUACCCUGAAACAGAAAAUUACCAACCUUGUGAAUUUUUUGCAGCAAUUAGAUUAAAAAUAGGUCCAAAUCGGCUUUAUCUUUUUAGAGCAUGCCACAAUAAUACUGGACCCUGAACUGCAACAUUGCAAGAUGCCUAUAAUACCAGAACAGUUAUCCUUCCUUAUGAAGAAUAAACUUACAUGGAGAACCGUAACUACAGGAAUCCACCUUAAAAACCAAAAAUGUUUUUGUAAGAUGCAUACCUCACUGACUACUGUCUGCUUCCCUCUCCAACUGCUCAAAUACUCUCGGAUUGACUCCUUUGCUGCGUCUGCAGUUCGUCUAAAUUUAGCAAUAUCCUUAGGGUCUUCCUUUAAUGACUCUCGUAGUGUCUUCACAACCUCCCUUGCUGAAUUCAAGUAAGCCUUUGGCAACACUUUUCCUGAUUUUAUUUUCUCAUUAGGAUCAAACAAUGAUUUAAUGGCCCCAACAACACCUUUUUCAUCAUCUUCUUGGCCAUUUGACUCAUCUUCAGCCCAUACUGGCAAUGGCAAAAAGCCACCAUUGAAAGUUAGAAUGGCCACCAGUGAAGCACCACUACCUACUAAAACAUGGCGCCGACUGGAUGGAGAUUCUUGUGAAGGUAGCACAAUGUGACACCUGGAUUUCAGUUUAUCUGUUAUGUCGCAGAAAAACGGUCAAGAAAGACAGGAGGAGCAACUCAGAACAACUGCAUCAAGGAUGGUAGCAAAUGAAGACAUUUUUACUAUUUAAUUACUACAAAAAGAAAAUAAAUAACGGGAUGCAUGGAAAAUAAUGCAUGAAUUAGGAUAUCAGAUAGGCAGAGUUGCCAAAAUAUGAUGCAAGUGGUCUGAUGUUUAUGCUUAGAACUGUCCUUCAGCAGGCAAACAAGAAUAGCAGGCAUUUGUAAACCAAGAUGGAUUAUCCGUUACGAGGAACAAUGGUGAGAAUUAAACUCUAGACUGACAAUGUUACAAAAUUAUUUAUUCAAUUUUCACUGCAGGUAUUGUUGGGAGAAAUAACCAAUCACUCUAUCGAUUAUGUAUAUCAUCAGAAACUCAGAAUAUACAUUGGUAAAAAUGAAUUCCAAUUUUUGAUAAAACAAUGGAGAGAACUCCACCCCACACUACAGACAUUAUUAAUGCAGGAAAAUACAUACUUACAUUCAUGAAUAUAUGAGUUUUUCUCAAUUGGUUUAGGAAUCAUUGGGGAGCAUAUCUUCAUUGCAAGAAAGACAGCCAUCCUUAACCUUAAUCCGAGUCAAGUAGCUAUAUCCAGUGCAUCCUACACAAAAACAGCCAGCCAAUAAGCACAAAUCUUUGUUUCAACUACAGAGUUAACAUUUUGUUCACAUAUUCUCUAAGAGAUACAAAUAACUUCCAAAGGCGAGAAAUUAAAGCCCUAAUUUCUUGCAAAAUACAUGUAAGUUCACCAUCCUUCCCAGAUUUAACUUUCAAAUGAUCCACAGCAUCCCAAAGUGAGAGUUGUAACUUUACCCAUCAUUCUUUUCCCUUGAGUUUCAUUACUUACCUUUCAUUCAAAUAAGAUUAAUUUGACACCAUACCAACCCCAAAACCCCACAAAAAACUUCUGAAAACCCAGGAGCCCUUUAAUUAGAAACAAAAAAAAAAAAAGGACACAUAUGAGCAGAAUCAAUAAGACGAAUAAACACAAUGUUGGUGAAGAGAUUCCAAAUUCUUCGUAAGCAUAAGGGCAUGCAAAACACAUAAAUAAGAAGAAGAAUUAAGCACAAAAAUUGGUGUACAGAGUUUGAUACCUCACAUACUCCUCUUGCCCUUACUUUCUCUGCCUCAGCUUCUGGGCUUUUGAUUCGUUUUAUCCAAAAAGGCCGCGUGAGGGGCUUCUCUUAAAAGAAGGGUAAAUGAGUCAUUUCGUCUAUCAAAUCGCAAGAACCAUCCAACGGCUCUUUUCGCCUUCAGAGAACGGGUCCCACGGAAAAUACGGUAGUCCCGCGCAACACUCGAUAACCUCACUCUAGGGUUUUGGGUUUCCCCUUCCUCAUCCUUUAAAACCACGGCUGCAUACUUCCGUAGCCCUUUCUCUCACCUUUGAGCCCUAAUCCUAACCCUAGCCAUGGUGAGUGGGCUUGUUUUCAUUUCUGUUAAAUCAAUUCUUGUGUCGAAUAUGGUUGUUUGUUGUUAUGUUAAUGAAUUGGAUUUUGCAGUCUCUUGUUGCAAACGAGGAAUUUCAGCACAUUCUUCGUGUGCUCAACACCAACGUCGAUGGGAAGCAGAAGAUCAUGUUUGCCCUCACUUCCAUCAAGGGUAUUGGUCGCCGUUUCGCCAAUAUCGUCUGCAAGAAAGCCGAUGUCGACAUGAACAAAAGGUCAUUUUUUUUCAUCUCUCCACGUUUUAAACUUCAUAUGGAACUCGGAUCUAGGAUUUAGCUGAAUCAGAUAUUCAUACAUACGAUAUGAACAUAUUAGCAGUCUGUAUUCUUAAAUUUGAGCUGUGGAAUCAUGGUUUUUUAUGGGCUAAUUUAAUUUAACUUUGGGAUAAUUGGUUGUUAUCUCUUUCCAAAUGAAAUAGCGCACAAUCUCAGGAUAAAGGGAUUGUAUAUCGACUCUUUUGAAACUCUGGAUGGGUGGUAUUGUUAAGAUAAAAAUGAACAUUGUUCGAUUAUCUUUUUUUGAAACAUCGGAAAUCUGUUGAUGGGAAUCGGGAAUUCCUGUAAAUUCAACUGCUAAUUAGUCCUAAAAUUUUAUUUUUUGAACUCAAAAUGAACAUGAGCUGCAUUUGCUCUCUUUGCAUGUUUGAAACAUUGGAACUCUAUGGUGCGUGCUAGAAUCUUUUUCUCAGUUCAGAGACUUGCAAAACCCAAAUUUCUAUAUUGUUUUAUGUCAUCAUCGGAAUUGAAUUAACUUACAUGCUAGUUUGGUAGUAGAUGGAUUUUGGUCUCUACUUUCUAUUCUUAUUCUUUGUUAUAUUUGAAUUUUUGGCAUUACUAAAAUUUUCUAAAUGGUUUACUUUAGAGCUGGUGAACUAUCUGCUGCUGAGCUCGAGAACCUGAUGGUGAUUGUGGCGAAUCCUCGUCAGUUUAAGAUCCCUGACUGGUUUCUGAACAGGAAGAAAGAUUACAAAGAUGGUAGAUAUUCUCAGGUUGUUUCUAAUGCAUUGGACAUGAAGCUCAGGGAUGAUCUUGAGCGUUUGAAGAAGAUCAGGUAAUCCAUCCUUUUUUCAUCUAUUACUUUUAUCACUCUUUGAAGAACAUGGUGCAAUUUUUUUUUCAUAAAUUCCUAAAGUCAUCAAAUUUGCAUUUUGGAUCGAAUUGAACUAUCUUUGUGGCUAAAUCUCUAAAUUUGAUUCAUAGUGGUUAUUUCCCUGGGAGAAUUUAGGUGUUAGAUUUGAAGUUUCAUCAAUGGUGUUGUUUUUCUCAUAAAUGCUUGGAAACAUUUGACUGAACACAGCUUCUUGCUUACAUUUUGAUGCUCUUUGCUCCAUCCUUCUGUGAGAAGACUGAAAAUUUAGAAUAACUUUUUUAUGUUUAACAUUUGCAAAUAUUGUUUUAUGUUUUCUAAAACUUUGUCCCUCUAUUUAGUUGUUGCUCAUAAGGCAGACCAGAUAACCCCCACAAUUCAAUGCCUUAGAUGUUUGAUAUGUCAAUCUUGUUGAGUUUGCUUUUCUGUUUUGGCUAACAAUUUUCUUUAUCUAUCAAUAAUAAGAUGAUGAUUAUAUAUGAGCUUGGCUACUAAGGCAGCAACAAUUCUUUUAUUCAUUUUUCUCAAUUUCUCUUUUGCCCCUCUAUUUAAAGUGUUAAUUGGAAUUCACUUGAGCCCUUAAAAGGGUUUUAACCAUACCAGGACUUAAUAAAAAAAAACCUAUGUAAUUUAUACCGAAAGCCUAAAAAGCAUAAAACUCAUUAAAAUUCAUCGAAUAUUGGAGCUUAAGCCUCUUAUAAUUAGAUAUCAAGGGCCCACAAAGGCCAUAAACCCAUUAAAACCAUUUUGAUAUCUACGGCUUAAGCUGCAACAACCUUGAGGCCAUAGUCUUAAGGCUAUGAGCCUCGACAAGGUGAGGCUUAAGCCUCAAUUACCAUAAAUGAGGUUAUAGGCUCUAGGCUAAUUCUUAGAGCCUAGCCUCUAGACUAAUUUGUAGAGCCCCACCUUGAGGUAAGCCUUAAGGCAUAAGCCUCGAUAGCCUUUUAAAACACAAGUCAAGGCUUAAUAAAUUUCAUCACUAUUGAUUUUGAGUUUACAAUGUUAAAAGAACUAUAGCAACACACCGCUCUGAAUUGUUUUUAAAAAUUUAUUUUUUGUUAACUGCUCGUGAGCAUUGCCUACUUAUUUUCACUGCAUAUGUAUCCAUCUGUUUAUAAGAGGUGAUAGGGGCAGUUAACACUGAUAUCAUUUUCAAUGGACAGGAACCACCGUGGUCUUCGACACUACUGGGGUCUACGUGUACGCGGACAACACACCAAGACAACUGGCCGCAGAGGGAAAACUGUUGGUGUCUCAAAAAAGCGUUAAAUCUCCCUUUCCUGGAUUUCCUGUUCCUCCUGCGAAUUUUGUUUGCUUUCCAAUUUUUCUCAAGUCCAUCAUGUCUCUAGUAUGGUUGUUCAGGUGAAUGCAUAUGGUAUUCCCGUUUCACUUAUCUUUCAUCAGUGUUCUCCUCGAUUGCUUGAUAGUUAUUCAAGAGAGGGUUUUGAUAUGGUAUCCGGUUACAUUAUUCGCUACUGUUAGUGAUAAAAGAGGUCUCUGGAUUUGAAUGUUCAUUCAUUCACAUGUUGAUUUUGGAUUAUUCAUUCUUGCAAGCACCUUCACUCACAAUUCAUAUAACGGAUUGUCUCUACUUAGUUGGUUCUUGUUGGUGUAACCUCACGCAGGGUGGCUUCCAUAGAAAUUGUAGAUGGGUCAAAACGCAUCCCACUCGGAAGGUUUGCCUUACAGAAUGCUUACAUGAAUGUAAAAAUUCUGCGACUUAUAUUAAAAACAUAAUGGUUUUUAUUUUUAAGAAUAUAUGAUAAAUCCUACAUAGCAGUUCUUAUAUUUUAUAUAUAAUUUAUAAUUAUUUUUUGUUUUUAAAGAUAAAUAAUAAAAAAUGUAUUCGAACAAAGCACUUUUUACUUUAUUUUGUUUUUGAAUUUUUUUAUUAUAAUCUUUUUUCAAGUCAACUCUUCAAUAGAUAAAUAAAAUAUUAUUUUGUUUUUGUUAAUAUGGACAAUAGAUUGUUUUAAGGUGUUUUUAAAAUCUUUUGUCAUAAUAAAAUUCUUAUCUUCAUAUUUGUAGAGUAAGGAUUUUUUUAAUUCUUUAAAAUAAUAAAAAUUUAAAAUGUAUGUCAUUUCUGUGAACUAUGAAUAUUAAAAACAUUUUCUUUAUGUUAUGUAAGAAAUAAUUUAGAGAUGAUCCAAAUGUUUUAUUAAGUGUCUUUGGAUAUAUUUCUUAUUGUUUUUAGAUGAAUAGAAUUUAUAAAACAAGGUAUGGAUGCAUAAGUUUAAGAGCCAUGAUUCUAAAUAUUCGUGCAAACACAACACAAUAAUAUUAUUUGAAGAUAACGUCGCAUACAUUAGAGAUGAAAGAAGAUCAUAUUAAAAUAAAUAGAAUCAAACAUAGUUCACCAUUAAUACCACCAGGCAAAAAUUGACAGUAUCUUCUAUUAUGUAUGCUCUAUGAAACCCUACUUCUUCCAUGAUAUGUUCUUUUAUACACAAAUUUCAUAAAAGUGGUAGAAUUGAUAUUCAACAAAUAUAUUCAAAUGAUUACCUAAUAAACAUAUUUGUAAAGACGUUAUCAUUUUAACAUUCAAAAAAUUAAUACAUAAUAUUAUAAUGCAUCAACUCAAGACUUUUUCUUAUUGAACUUUUGAGGAAAGCAUACUCUUGUGUCAGUAUGAGGGGUGGUAUAUUUAUAAAAGAAACAUAUGCAAGGGAUGUAAGCACAUUGGAUUUUUCUUUAUUCAUGUUUUCUCUUAUUAGGUUUUUCUCAUAAAGUUUUUUUGUACUCCUAAUUUAUUGAAACAUUAAUAAGAAUAUUGUAUUUUUUUUUCUUUCGCUAAGUUUUUCUCAUAAACUCUUUACUAGCAAGGUUUGUUGCAAGUUUUCUUGUGUAACAAUCUAUAUAAGUUAGAAUUUUGAUUGUUAACUAAACUAGACACAUAAUUGCAAGCAUAAAAUAAGGAAAAGUAAGAGAUUUUUAACAUGAUUCGGCAAUUAAUGUGAUUUUUACAUCUAUAAAGUGCAACAACGCUCAAGAAUUCAUUAAUCAAACAAACAAGAAUGGGUAUAAUGGUGAAGCUCUUACUCUCUUCUCAAUUGUGGUUACAUUCUAUUUUUUUUUCUCUAUAUAAAAAAAUAAAAGCCUAAAUUAUAAGAGGGUUAGAAUAUAAUAGGGCCAAAUUCAUCAUUCAAUAAAUAAAUAAAUAAUUCCAAAAGGCGUUACCCCCUUAAACCCCUAUGAGUUUGUUGGGUAAUUCGAUCCCCACAAGCUCAAUCAUAAGCUUGACCCUCGACAUCCCUUACGAAGCACAACAAGAUCAAUUUUGGUUUCAUAAUUCAACAAUCUUCCACUUGAACACUAAAACACAAGUAAGCAUUCUCUUUCAAUUAUUAAUAAGUAUAGUACGCUCAAACAACCUGUACUCACCAUUGGCCCGCCAAAACUACGCACAACUCCAGUUUCUUUAUUAUCAUUGUUUUGGUCAACAUGUCAGUUGAAUUCUUCCUAUCUUGUAUCCUCACAAGUGUUAACACUCCAUCUUCAAGCAAAACUUAAUGAAGUAAUAACAAAAUACUAUAUGUUUAGUCUUGAAAUGAAAUGUUGAAUUUUUAGCCAAAUGUUUUCCAUUUUGGCUAUUACUAUACAAAACUUUCAUUACCCAUUUGACUCCUAACUUUGCCAACAAACUCACCAACCAAAUAAUCUUUUUGCUAGCUUAAUAAUUGUAAACUUUCUAAGUUUUGAUUAAGAGAGAUGACUUGUUCUUAAAUUUUGAUUGCAUAAUUUUGAAUCAGUUCAAAUUUUCUUUGUGUAACAACCACAUACUCUAUUUCAAUUGUAGGUUAAACAACAAUCUUCUACGAUUGAGAAAUCUAACUAAUAGCAAUAAUACCCAAAGUGAACAUGUACCUUACAAUGCUUCUUCUACGGUCUAUCUCACCGACAAAACCAGCAUUCACAUAUCCUUGCAAUUUCAACUCACCACUUCUGAAGCAUUAACACUUUUUCUAUAAUACAAGUAACUAAGUAUUCAUUUCAAUACUUCCCAAUAUUGCUUACCUAGAUUUGACAUGAAUCUAAUCGUAAUGAGACACCAUAGCAUACAUCAAACUUCUAAUGGCUAAGGCACCUUAGCCAUGAAGUCUUUUUCCUCGUCUAUUUGUGGGCAAUGCUCCUUAGACAAGUUGAAGAGAUUUGUUAAAGAUGUUCUAACUACCUUAACAUCACUCAUGUUGAACAUUUACAAUAUCUUAUGAACACACUUAACCCAAGAUAACAACACAGUGUAUGUUUGUUUGUCUUUACUAAUCCUCAUCCUAAGUAUAUACUUUAUUGCAAAGUCCUUCGCCUCAAACUCAUUGGACAACUGUUUCUUCAAUUUGUUGAUUUCAUCUAAAUUUACACUAACUACUAACAUAUCAUCAACAUGAAGUAGCAAAAUAAUGUAAUUAGAAUCACUCAACCUUCCUGAGAUAACAAAAUAGUUUGCAUUGCACCUAAGAUAUCCAUUAUUUUGCAUGAAAUCAUUGAACCUUUUAUACCACUAUCUCGGGAUUUGUUUUAACUCAUAUAGGCUUUUUGUCAAUCUACACCAGAUUUUAUUUACUUUUCACUACAAAACCCUCUAGCUACUGCAUAUAUAUUUCCUUUUCCAAAUCACAAUGGAGGAAGUUGUCUUCACAUCUAAUUGCUAAAAAAAGUAAACUCUCUGUUGCUACAAUACUAAAAAUAAAAUGAAUAAUAGUAAGUUUUACAAUUGAAGAUAAGAUGUUUGUGUAGUCAAUCCCUUAUUUCUAUUGAAACCCAUUGACUAUCAAUCUAACCUUAUAUCUAUUAGAGCCAUCAUACUCUUGUUUAACUUGAUACGCCCACUUAUUAUGACAAGCUUUCUUAUGUACUCAUACCUUAGCUAGCUUUCAAGUUUUGUUAGAAAUAAGAGACUUUAUUUCAUAUUUCAUUGCAAACUCCUACUUACUAGUAUUUUCCACCUGACAAGCCCCAUCAUAAUAUUAGGUUCACCACCAUCAAUUAAUAGCAAAUCAUCCAAAUACUUCAUAUUUGAUACAUAUUAAGCCAGAUGAUGUCCCACUAAGUAGUAUGACAAAUAAGACAAGCCAUAAUCAUUAUAUUGAGGAAAACAUUGCAUAAGGUGUUUUCAACUUGUACUAGAUUAGUGGUUGGGUUGCAUCUCUAUCCUUAUGCAAGACUUUCUCAUUUAAUAUGACAUCUUUGUUUUGAACCACUUUCUUAUUCUAGUCAUCCCAAAACUUAUAAGCAAACUAAUCAACACCAUAACUAAUGAAAAGUAUAUUUUAGCAAUUUAACAUCAAGUUUGUUUUUUCCAUGAUCACUAAUAUGUGCAUAUAAGACACAACCAAAUACCUUCAAAUGAGAAAGCUUUACCUUUCUUAUAGUCCGUACUUCUUCUCGUAUUUUGUGCUUUAAUAGUGUUGAUGGUCUUGGAUUGAUCAAGUUGUUCUAUUGAUUGCUCUUGCCCAUAACUACUUUGGCAACCUUGUCCUAUAUAUACAUGUUUCUAGCUCUCUUAGUCAGUGUCUUGUUCAUUCAGUCUACUAUAACAUUUUGUUAGGUUGUUCCUAGCAAAGUCUUCUCCCAUUUAUUUUCAUUUUCAUAACAUAUAUUCUUGAACUUAGAGCCUCAUACUUCCCACCAUUAUUAGACUAUAAAUUCUCGACUGUCAUACUCAUUUCAUUAUCCACUAUUGCUUUCUAUCUCUUGAAUACAUCAAACAUCUUUGAUUUGUGCCUCAAAAAAUAUACUCAAACUUUCCUUGAAUGGCCAUCAAUGAAGGUCACAAAAUAAGAUCUUCUACCAAUUGAUGAAAUUGAAGUGAGUCCCUAAACAUCUAUGUGAACUAACUUAAGUCUUGCUUCUUUUAGAGUUCUUAUAACCUUCUUAAAGCUAACUCUUCUUUGUUUCCCAGAUAUAUAGCUUUUACGCAUAUCAACGUGAAUUAACUUUAAACACGAUACCUUCUCAUUCAAGUGCUUAAUUUCUAACCCCUUAGUACUCAUGUGGUUGGGCCUCAAAUGCCACAGAUUCAAAUCUUCUGUGCUCCCAACAAUUGUAAUAAACUUACAUCUAUUUGUUGUCAUGUAAAGAGUACCACUUUUCUUGUCACAAGCAACAAUCAUCGCUUCUCAUGAGAUUUUCCAUAUGCUACCUGCAAAAGUUGUUAGAUAGUUAUCUUUCACCAACAACCCAAUAGAAAUAAGAUUAUUCCAUAAGUUUAAAACACGCCUCACGUUAUAUAGAUUCUAUACAAACCCAUUCAAUUUGAUAUGCACUUCACUUUGCUAAUAAGAUCGCGCAUAUCGUAAUGACCUAGAUACAUUUUUACCAAAUUACCUAAGACAUUCUCAAAUAAUUUUUUACUUGAGGUUGCAUGAAGCGAUGCCCUUGAAUCCAACACCCACAAUUUUGCCUGGCUCUCUAAAGAGAAAAUAAAAGCAUUAUCUAAUUAUUUCAACACAACAUUUGCAGUAGUUUUGUUGCCACUAUCAUUAUCCUUUCUUGUCAACCUUGAAUUCAUUAUGAUAAUAUCUUGUUUUUGCAGCUUUUGUUGUUGUUGGAACUAUGUGGUAUGGUUCAACAACUACCCCAAUCGAAUUACCACAAUGCCAACAUUCAAUAUCUUUCUUACUCUUCCAUUGUUGGGAAUUUCUUGAUUUUAACCUAUUUUCCUAACAAGAGAUAAAAAAUUUUAUGACAGAUUAUUCUCCAUCUGUAUCUUCUAAAAAGAAAAAUUCGUGCCAUCAAAUUUCUUGAUUUUGUAUGAAUCUUUCUUUGAUUUUGUUACUUUUGCUUAAAUGAUGAUUAGUCGAACAUGUCAAGCCUAUGAUUUGUGAACCUAGGUGCUUUGAUACUAGUUGUUAACCAAACCACACUGAUCGCUCAGAUUUUUUGUCGUUUGUUGGAUCAAAACAAAAUUUAUAACCUAAUUCACUCUUCUAUAGCAAUUUGUACCCGAUCAAAAAUUGGCUUUAGUACAAACUACUGUAGCAUAGUGGUUUUUAGGUAUCGUCCACAAGGAUGGAUUAUUCUUGGUGAUUAAGGCUUGAAUGAGAUGAUAAGAAGUGAUUGUGAAAAAGUGAAAUCAACUUGAAAUUGCAUGAUAAAAUUCCAAAUUAACAAUGUAUUCAAAUUGAAUUGAAAAUGAAGUUUAAAAGAGAAGAAAAUUUAUAAGAGGUGAGAUUCUCGGAGUUAGGAUUUUCUAGAGAGCAAUUUCCAUGGUGAAUGGGUGUUAAGAUCUAAUUUUCAUCAAGUUAGAUUGAAAACCUAAAUUUUCAUCUAAACCGAUUUUUGAUUUAACUUUAGNNNNNNNNNNNNNNNNNNNNNNNNNNNNNNNNNNNNNNNNNNNNNNNNNNNNNNNNNNNNNNNNNNNNNNNNNNNNNNNNNNNNNNNNNNNNNNNNNNNNNNNNNNNNNNNNNNNNNNNNNNNNNNNNNNNNNNNNNNNNNNNNNNNNNNNNNNNNNNNNNNNNNNNNNNNNNNNNNNNNNNNNNNNNNNNNNNNNNNNNNNNNNNNNNNNNNNNNNNNNNNNNNNNNNNNNNNNNNNNNNNNNNNNNNNNNNNNNNNNNNNNNNNNNNNNNNNNNNNNNNNNNNNNNNNNNNNNNNNNNNNNNNNNNNNNNNNNNNNNNNNNNNNNNNNNNNNNNNNNNNNNNNNNNNNNNNNNNNNNNNNNNNNNNNNNNNNNNNNNNNNNNNNNNNNNNNNNNNNNNNNNNNNNNNNNNNNNNNNNNNNNNNNNNNNNNNNNNNNNNNNNNNNNNNNNNNNNNNNNNNNNNNNNNNNNNNNNNNNNNNNNNNNNNNNNNNNNNNNNNNNNNNNNNNNNNNNNNNNNNNNUAAAAAGGACACUUGGCAACAUUAUAGAGGUCUUUCCGGAUGCUUUUUUCAUCAAGGAAUCUGGAGAGAAAUGCCCUUUCGCACGAGCCCCAAGUGAUCCCGCAUGAUGGUGCGAAGUGAAGAAUCAAUCAGCUGGAAUUUCGUUCUUCUGGAGCGUUUCGCAUGACUGUGCGAAAAUUUCGCAUGGUCAUGCGAAAUCACUUCUUCACAAUUUCCUCAUAUGCUGCAGCCAUACUCUCUCUGUUUCAUUUCGCAUGAUUGUGCGAAAAUUUCGCAUGGUCAUGCGAAAUCGAAAAUCAUGCUAUUCCGGUUCUUCUUUGCAAAUUCUCUCAUUUGUUCAUGUUUAAUCCAUCUCCACCACCUUCAAUUAAGCUCCAAAGCUUGGUCCAAGUGCAUUUCCUCUUCCUCUUCAUCCACAUUAUGUAUCCUCCUCCAUUCCAUUUUCCAUUUGUCACUCCAUGCUUCAAAAAUCACCUUAAAAUAUCUCCAAAACUCAACAAAGAACCAUUAGAAUCUCUUGCAAGGGUAGCAAUGUAUUACUUGGGCAUAUUAGGCAUAAUUACUACUCAAAAGGUGUGAAACUCAUGAAAGUUAGUAUCUAAAAUAUGUGGUUUUUGAGUAGUAAUCAUUCCCCCCAACCAACACAUUGCUAGUCCCUUAGCAAUGGUAUAACAAAAAGAAAGAGAAAAUUACUCAAAAAGAAAAUCCUACACUCAUUUGGAAAAUGUGUUUGAAAAUCCCAUAGCACAAAUGCUCAUAAAUGAAACACACCUCACCAUCCAUAGGUGUCACCAAAAUCUCAAGCUCAUUUACUAUCUCUAAUAGAAAAGACAUCAUGCAAAUCAAAGUGUCAAAGAUAUAUCCAUUUUCAACUCCCCAAAAUGAUAUUUCCAAACAAGUCUUGAGUGAAAUUAAACUAGCCCCCUAAUAUAUUAUUCAAAACUAUUCCUCCCCCUAACCAUGCCUAAUUUAUCUUAAGCAACAAAAACCACUCUUUCAUAGGUCAAGAACGCACCUUUUUUUUUUUUUUUUUUUUUUUUUUUUUUUUUUUUUUUUUUUUUUUUAUGAAAGAUCUAAUUGUAGGAAUGCAAUGCUAAAGGUAUCUCCAAGUAUACGGUCCAUGUAGCGGGGAUUCAUCGAUGACUCCCAACCAUAAGGCAUAGGGCACCAAGUUUAUAGGACUAAUUCAGCCACUAACUCCUCAGACUUCACNNNNNNNNNNNNNNNNNNNNNNNNNNNNNNNNNNNNNNNNNNNNNNNNNNNNNNNNNNNNNNNNNNNNNNNNNNNNNNNNNNNNNNNNNNNNNNNNNNNNUUCCCCCCCACCCACCCCAUGGUAGUCCCUUUGCAAUGGUUUACCAAAAGAAAGAGAAAAUUUCUCAAAAAGAAAAUCCUUCCACUCAUUUUGAAAAAGUGGUUUGAAAAUCCCAUAGCACAAAUGUUCAUAAAUGAAACACACCUCCCCAUCCAUAGGUGUCACCAAAAUCUCAAGCUCAUUUACUAUUUUUAAUAGAAAAGACAUCAUGCAAAUCAAAGUGUCAAAGAUAUAUCCAUUUUCAACUCCCCAAAAUGAUAUUUCCAAACAAGUCUUGAGUGAAAUUAAACUAGCCCCCUAAUAUAUUAUUCAAAAAUAUUCCUCCCCCUAACCAUGCCUAAUUUAUUUUAAGCAACAAAAACCACUUUUUCAUAGGUCAAGAACGCACCCUUUUUUUUUUUUUUUUUUUUUUUUUUUUUUUUUUUUUUUUUUUUUUUAUGAAAGAUCUAAUUGUAGGAAUGCAAUGCUAAAGGUAUCUCCAAGUAUACGGUCCAUGUAGCGGGGAUUCAUCGAUGACUCCCAACCAUAAGGCAUAGGGCACCAAGUUUAUAGGACUAAUUCAGCCACUAACUCCUCAGACUUCACCCCGGACUCCACAAUUUAGGAUCCAAUACCUUAGCACCUACAAUCGAGCUCAUACUCCACCUAUUCACCCAUGUAGCGAGCAUUGAGGUCGGUGGCUCCCAACCAUAAUGGCUUAGGGCACCAGGUUUUAAAGACCUUUGGGCCAUAUACCCCUCGGACCUUGCUCAGGUUUCAAGGAAAGCAUAACUCAACCUUUUUUUUUUUUUUUUUUUGAUGAAUUGGGCACAUUGGCCUCUUCUUAAGGUGUCUUAACUCAAUUUAAAAGUGAUUCAACUUGCUAAGACAAUUGGGUCCAAGUCUUAGGGUUAGAUUAGUCUUUCAUCUUAUAUCAGGGGUCUAGAGUGCACAGUGUGUGUCAAGACUCAAUUAGAAAAAAAAACUUGGGAAGAUGAAAACUUCAAAGUCAAAUCAAACUCAAUCAACAUAACAAGUUUUCUAAGAUCAAGCAAAUGAGCUGAUAUUCCAAAUCAACUUCUUUCAAGCUAGGUAUGCUUAUUUAUCAAUCAUAAGUGCUAUGUUCUUCUCAAAAAAAAAUUACCAAUUAAAAAAAAAAACUAGUUAAUACACAAGCAAACAAAAAGAAAAAAAAAUCUAACAACCAAUUCUAAAUCAACAAAAAACCAAAAGUCCUUCCUUUCCUAUCCUCCCCCCAACCAAACUAAACAUUGUCCUCAAUGUUUACCAAAAAAAAUGUAAAGCAAGGAAGGGAAAAGUACCUGCAAAGCAUUGUUUUCCAGCUUCUAUAACUGUGACAAAACAAUAUAGAAGUAUAAGUGUGCUAGGAAAGGAGAAAAAUAAAAAAAUUGAACACUAAAAAAAAUGAAGUCAAGGAGAAAAGUGAGGGCACUCCCUAUCCUCAAGCAUAAGAUGGAUGGGAGGGGAUGAUCUCUGAAGGUGUCAAAAUGGUGGUGGGCACUGUAGACUCCCUUGUUGUAGAAUUUGUCUCUUGUGUAGGUGGGAUGGACAGAGGAUGAGCAUCAUGAACACUAGCUGGCUUCUCAGAAGAAGAAUUCCAUUGCUGGACAGCCAUGGUAAGUUCAUCAACUCUUUGGACAAGUUGCCGCUGAGUGAGCUGGAUGUUUGCUUGAUUUUCUUGAAUCAUAUCCAAGCGAGCUAAAAGUUGAUUGAAUGCUUCAGUUGAUAUAUGGACAUAGCCAUCAGAAGUUGAUGGGCCUAUGUUUGGGGUAGAGGAAAGGCUAGCCAAAAUAUGUGCAGCUGUAUCCGGAUUUUGGGGAGUAGAAGUAGCUCCUCGUGUGGUGGCAGCUGGUGGUCUUGGGGGUGUAUCUUCUCCAUCACCAAAAUCUUCAAGGAUCAAAUUCGGAGGAGGUACAUAAUGAUGUUCAUUAUCAGUAGUCAAUGAGGCGCUUGUGAGAGUGGACUCGGUUUUGGUCACACUACCUUGCCAUCUGGAAACAGUAUAGACUUCCCUACAAUGAUGUUUCUUUUCUUUAUCAGGUUCAGUAGGGAAGCCAUAGUACUCCAAUAUGGUGCCCAACAUGCGCGGGAAGAAUAGUGGAUAUUUCUUGGCUCUUUGCAAUUGCUUUAGAUGUACCUUAUCUUCAAAGUAGAACAGGGCAGCCAUGAAUAAAUCAGCAGGUGUCCACCAUUGUCCACUGAUAAUUCUGAAUAAUGCCUCUAGGAUUUGUUCCCGCCUUUGCAUUGCAUGUUGGCAAGGAUAGACAUUGGAGCGUAGGACAUGAUCUAAGAACCAAAAUUUUGAGUCUAUUUCUCUCCUCAGCACUGCAUGUGUGUUGAUGGAUUUUCCGGAUGGAUGGAAUGCAUGAGGCAAAGGGAGAAGGAGUUUUAAUAGCCCAACACCAGUGUGCAUGAUCAUGCAAAAACAAAGGAGUCUUCAUGCAAAAACAGGGGAGUCUUCAUGCCAAAAACAGGGGAGUCUUCAUGCCAAAACAGGGGAGUUCUCAUAGCUUUGGAAAUGUGCAAAACGAGUCUCUGUCCCAGUUCGCAUUAUCAUGCGAAAUUCUCGCAUGACUGUGCGAAAAUGAUAAGGGAAGUGUAAAAUUUUUUAACCCUCUGGACUAUUUCGCAUAACUAUGCGAACAUUUCGCAUGACUAUGCGAAAUCCAGCUUAAGCACUGAGGUAAAAUUAACCCUCUGGACCACUUCGCACACUUAUGCGAAAAUUUCGCAUGGUUGUGCCAAAAUUUUCUUUAAAAGGAAAAAGACAAAAUUGCCCCCAAUAUAAUCCCUGUUUUAUUUUGCACGGUUAACUGAAAGUGAGCCUCAUGCGAAAACUCUUAGUCUUCGUUAGUCAUGCGAAACUGAGGAGGAAUACCAUCGGUCUUUUUUCCAUUUCACCCACUCUCUCUCACACAUAUCUUCCUUGCCCUAAACCACGUUGAAACAUCAGGAAUCUGAAUACUUUCAGUUCUUGAUUUUCGGAGAUUUACUCGAACACUCCCGCGAUUUCAAGCAUUUUAGAUGGGAAAUCAAAAACGAAAAUCAUCAGACAUUGAGAAAGAAUUUGUGGUGAUGAAUGACGAAAAUGGCAAAGACACUGACCCCGAAUCACCUCCGGGAUUUUCCCUCUCUGAACCUCCCAUUUCUGGACAUCGAAACCAGAGGAAUGUCGCAAGAUCUUCAAUAGAUAAAGGAAAAUCAAAGAUGGUUGCUACUCCUGGAAAAUUACCGGUGAAGAGAACACGAAGCGUCAGAGCUCGAACUCUUUCAAAUUUUCCGGCAUCCCCUGCUACUCCUUCAGAGCAACAUGUUGUAGUUCAAUCCACCGUUGCUAAAGCCCCUGCUCCUACUCCGGUUACAAAAUCUGCAUCUCCACCAAGCCGACCACCUCAGUUUCAAUUCACGAAAGCACCAAAGAAGAAAUUAGCUACUGGUGCAAGGGAGGACUGCUCAGGUAGAAAAUUUCAUGAAGAAUGGUACUAUGAUUUCAAGGCUUUUGCUGCAUCAUCUAUUACUAAAUUCUCCACGGAGCUUUGUUGUCGAUAUUUUUUGGAGCCAUUCAUGGUGCCUAGACCAUUCUUCUAUCCUCGCAUAAUUCGGGAAUUUUAUCGCACCAUGACUAGCAGAGGAGUCUACCCACCUUCAGUGAUUUAUUUCGAAAUUGAUGGGAAACAAGGUAUGCUAAAUUCUGAAAUGGUAGCAAGAGCUUUGGAUAUUCCUUUCACACCUCCAAAUCCAGCUGAGUUUCAACCUAUUACUCGAAUUGAGGCUGCUGAGAUGGUGCGGAUUGUCUCUCAAAAUCAAUCCAUCUCCACCACCUUCAAUUAAGCUCCAAAGCUUGGUCCAAGUGCAUUUCCUCUUCCUCUUCAUCCACAUUAUGUAUCCUCCUCCAUUCCAUUUUCCAUUUGUCACUCCAUGCUUCAAAAAUCACCUUAAAAUAUCUCCAAAACUCAACAAAGAACCAUUAGAAUCUCUUGCAAGGGUAGCAAUGUAUUACUUGGGCAUAUUAGGCAUAAUUACUACUUAAAAGGUGUGAAACUCAUGAAAGUUAGUAUCUAAAAUAUGUGGUUUUUGAGUAGUAAUCACACACACACAUGCACACAUGAGUAGAAAAUAAAGAAAAACAAAAGACUUUUAACAUGGUUUGAUGAUCAAUGUAAUGCUUAAAUCCACGAAGUGCACCAAUACUCAAGAUCAACAAACCUUUUGGAAUAUGAUUCUAGCCAUUGCAUCACCAUAUGCUUCUACCUACACUACUAUUGCUAAAAAGUUUCACAUGUAUUCCUUAAAGUUUCUAUUUCAUUCAUUCUCAUAUUAAAGAGUGAAUCCAUGUCACAAUGGUAGCAUUAGGGGUACAUGUGUUGAGAAACAAAUAUAAUGUAACGUUUCAAAAAAAAGAUUGAUAUAGACCCACUUGGUAGAUUGUGAAACCAAACUAAGGCAGAUCCUAAAACCUUGUGGGAAAGAGCUUACAUCAAUGGGUCAUGUUCAUGCACUAACAUUAUCAAUUGGCAAUAAAGCAUGAGGUUGUCCAUCAAGUCCCUCAAGCAAUCAUAAGCUUAACAUUUUGAAAACACAAACUUGAUGGAUACUUUUGCAUCUAAGAUUCAAGCAGAGUAUAUGGUGAUUGACAAUCCAUGGACUAUCCUUUUAGCUAGUUGGUGUGAAGUAUUUCUUCUCAUGGAAUCCAUUAUUACUUUCAACUGAUCGAGUUGCAUUUCUAAGAUGUCUCGCUCAUUGAGGUGAUGCAUUAUCCCAUUUUGGAUUGAAUUAUCUUAUUUAUAAAGACAAGAGUCUCCACAUUGUGAUUGAGACACUAAAGAAGGCUUCAUCAUGGUUAUUAGGGUUGUAGAUGAUCGUUGCCAAAUUGGGACCUCAUUUUGUUACAUAAGGCCUGCAAUUGUUGAUUAAACUUGUGUUGUCGUGGUUCUAGUUGUGCAUGAAAAUCCCUUAAAACACUAUUUCUUUCUUUGGUUCAAUGCUUCUGUCCUCUAUCGAAUCCCUUAGUGCAACAUAGGUUAUUGUUUGGCUUUCAAGCGAAUGCUAAAGUAUAAGAAACUAUAAUACUAGAUUGUAAGAACGUAGUCAAGCUAUUUUUUUGUCAUUUUGAUCUUUUUAUUUUCUCUACAAUUUAUCAAGACCACAAUACAAACAAUUAUCAAAAGGUGAAGUUUGUUAUUGGAUCCUUGUUAUAUUAGACACGUGUCAUCCUUAUCAAGUAAGGACAAUCCAAUAUUCUGAUUUGAUCGUGAUGUGAGGACUCAUAUGAGGAAAGAGUCGGGUUAGUAGUUGGUUUUUUCGUUAUUCUUAAAUGAUUUUCUUUUGUAAAUGUUAGUAAAGUAAAGAAACAAUUAACCUAAUGAUAUAAAUGAAUAAUCAAUGAAUAUGAAAUGCGGAUACGUGGGUUUUUUUUUUUUUCCAUUCACACAUCAACCCUUCGUCAUAGUUUAUAAUUCCCACUAUAAAUAAAAUAAAUUAAUUAUUAAUUAAUAGGUUUGCCCUAAUAUUAUAGGUAAUGGUAUUUGUUUGCUUUUUUUUUUUUUCUGUUAAAUAUUAUUAGCCAUGCGCUUACCCAUAUGUAAUGCCCAAAAUAUAUAAAUUAUCAAUUAUUUAUUUAUUUCCCUUUUUCCCCCAACGAGAAAACAUACUUCCCUCUCGUAAUUUUGCCUUUGGAGUGUAGAUCAUAGGAGUUGUCUGCUUCCUUUCACGUGCGCAUUCUUGAAACCCUAGCUCCCACAGAACCCUAAGAUGGCCGGCGGUAACCCCAAGGCCUCUUCACACAAGCCCUCUUCCUCCUCUUCUCACCGGAAGUCUCGCUGGGAGUCCGGCUCCAACCCGGAUAAAAAAUCGGGCGACUCCAAACCACCCAAUUCCUCCUCCACCCCUAAGACCCCUAACAAUGACCCAAAACAAGCCCCUGCUUCCACCUCCGGCUCUUCCCAUCCCAAGCCUCCGGCUGAUUCCGUCCCAACCUCUGCCGCCGCUCCAGUUCGUCCUCCGGUCGCUGGAGCCCCAUUCCUUCCGGACCCUACCACGUUCGGGCCUCCUCCCGCUCCUCAGUAUGGAUUUCACAUGCUUGAACGCCGGACGAUUGUUCUUGCCGAUGGGAGCGUCAGAUCGUAUUUUGCACUUUCGCCGGACUAUCAGGACUUUCCACCACCGCCGCCCCGAGCGAUGGACCCUGCCGGGAGGUUCUUGCCUAUGGGGCCUGGCCACGGCCCCGAACCCGUCGGUCCGGGGCUGGGCCGAUUCCCUCUUACGGGACCGAUGAGUCCCGAAGGGUUCCGCGGCGAACGCGAUGAUCCCUAUUCUCGUGGCAGACAUCAGGAUUACUGGAAUUCUCUAGGGCUAGAUGGCCGUGGACACCCAGAAGGGUCGAUGAAGAGGAAAUACAGUGAAGAGGACGAGAGGGAUAGGAGAGAAGACAGAGACAGGAGAGAUGGCAAUGAUGAGUUUGCUAGGCAAAGGCAGCAGCUUUUACAGUAUGGGAAUCCUAGCUUGAACCCAAAUGGGUAUCCAUUGGGGGGUGAUCGCAGUGAAUAUUUGGCCGGACCUAGUAGCCCCUUCCGGAGAGGUGUUAUGGACCCAAUUCGUGGUGAUGAAUUGAGGUCUUCUAAGUAUAUGAGGAUUGGAGGGGGUUAUGAGGGGUUUUCCCGGCAAGGAGGUGUUGGGGAUAAUGUGGGUCUGAAGCACCAUAAUGUUGAUCAAAAUGCACUGAAAAAAGCUUUUAUUCAGUUUGUAAAAUUGAUUAAUGAAAGUGCAUCACAGAGGAGAUUGUACUUGGAGGAUGGAAAGCAGGGCCCUCUACGAUGUCUAGCAUGCGGCAGGUUUGGAAAAAAUGGGCCGCUUGUACCUUCUUUAUUAUUGAGUUUCUUACGCAUUGUCUAUUUGUCAUUGGUGGUUGUUGCUGUUAUUGCAGACUAUGUUCCAUGGACUUGGGUAGAUGUUUAGGUUUCAGUAGGUGGGUAUGGUCAGAUCAUCUAAUUGUCAAUUAGACCAUUAGAUGGGGUUAAGUUGUGAAUAGGUUUAACCUGUUGUUGUCCAUAUUGUUGGGUUCUGUGAUUUUGCAUGUGUGAUGCGUGUCCAAGUUGUGGAUGUCUUUAAUUUGCUGUUGCUUAAUUGUAGAAUGGGAAGGUUUCAUGUGAUUUAUGACAUAGUAUUUCUGAUUUGCCUAUUACUCGUAUCUUGGCUUGUGUUUGAUGGAGUUAUUUGCAUCUCCUUGUCAGUAUUAAAGACUGUUAGAUAUUUAGUUGUUAACAGGUUAAAAAAUUUUGCCCUCUAUUUCAUAGGAUGAGAAAUUUCUGUGAUGUAGAAUGUCUGAUAGAUCAAGAAAAUAUAUGCGGGUACUUCUAUGAAUAAUUAAUGUGUUUCUCCUGUCCUUUCUAGGUCAGACCUAUUCGGUUCAAAGUUGAUCCAAUCUAUGUUGCGUGGCUUGGUGGGGAGAUUCACAUAUCUUGUAAUCUCUUGACAACAUAAUCUGAAAAAUUAGGAUUCUUGGGCUUUUGGGUUGCAAAGUCAAUGGGGUUUGAUAGAAUUUGUCGUGAUUGAUGGAAUUGUCAUAAUGUCACGUGCUUUAUGCUUUAAUAGAGUGGGGAAUGGUGGUGAGAUUUUUAUGAGUCACGAUGGAUGACUUGCUUUGUAAUAUAUUGUUUUAUGAACAUAAUUAAAACUAUUUUCUUUUUAAUAUUUAUUAGUCGUUUGGCAAGUAUCAAACUAACUUGCUUUAGUUGGAAAACAUAGUAAAUUUGUUCUCACUUUUCCUCAUAUUGAUAGGAUAUGAUUAGGAGUUUCAUUCACUUCUUUCCAAUAGAAUACAUAUUUAUUCAAAAAAGAAUGCAUCGGGAUGUGUUGAAGUUUUGCAUUUUUUUCGGGACUGGUGUUAUCAAAGGUGAUCGCUUGGGUGGCCUAGGCUACCAGGCUAGGCGGGGCAGAUAAAAGUUGCCUCUUGAAGACCCAUACAAGGCGGCUUCAAAGAGGCAACAUCUAGGCAAUCGCCUUAGGAUAAGGCACAAUGCAUAGAGUUGAUCGCCAUUGACCAUGAGUUAAGAUUAAACAUACUUAGAUUAUAAUUUCUGUUGAGAGAGAGAGAAAGAAGAAAAACCUUAAUUCUCAUUCAUGUAUAAUCCUUUGGCCUGAGUCCAAAAUUUAAAACAAGUUUUGUAGGCCCGAAGAUGAAGAAGAAUCUUGGGAUCAACCGAUUGCCAUAAUACACUACAUAACUGUGCAUCUAUCUUCCUCCACUGUACGCGGUCAACCUCAGGGAUAUCUGCCUCCUGUGUAAUCAAGUGAUCCUCAUAUCCUUGACCCAUAAACCAAAGUUCAACAGAGGCAGACCAGGAAAGAUAAUUUUCACUGCCAACUAAUUUCUCCGAAGUAAUCAUAGGAGAUCCAGAUAUGAUAGAGGAAAAAAUGGAAGCUUUAGUAGCCAUAUCCACUUAUCUGGAGAAUGAAGUAUGUUUGGAUCGAAGAGAGCCCUAAUACGGCUUCAGAUUGCGGCGUGGCACCACCGAAAAAGGGAGACGGCCUCAGAUCGCGGCGUGGUACCACCAGAAAGGUAGAAGAACACUUCCCAAGGCACGUGCAGGGAUUGGAGUGGAGAAAAAGUAGUCGGAGCUUCGUCGGAAAGACUGUUUGGAGGGCCGAUGGAGACAAAAAACCCCAAAAGAGGUACGUGCAGGGCUCGGAUGGGAGAACCAGGGAGGUAGGGAGGCUGGUCGGCGUCAGGCGAAGCUGGAGGAGGAGGCGCGUCGCCGGAAAAUUCCUCAUGCGCUGGCGUGUGAGAUGCAGCCACCGGCCGGAAAAUGGCGCGUGGCCGACGCGUGGAUGCUCUUUGGUGCCGGUGCCUUCACAAAAGUUGGAGAUCUCCUCCAGGCGCUCCUUCUGGUAUGGUCGGUGUCGGAAAAAUAGUUCGCCGGAAAGUUCGCCGGCGGUGAGUGGUUUCUAACGACGAUCCGACUGACCGGAAAGUAUUGGGAGAUGGGGAAGGUGACCGGAAAGAAACAUGGUCACCCGAAGGUUUCCCGGAGUUGAUGACACGGGAAACAGGAAAGAAUUAGGUUUUCUUCCUUGGCUCUGAUACCAAUUUAAUCUAAUAUUGGAUUAAACAAAGUAUAAGAUGAAAUAUUAUAUUAUCAAUCAUAGAGAUAAUAAGAUGGAUGACUAUCAAUCUAGUCAUGAUGGAAGUGAUGACAAUUUUCAUUUCAAUGAUGACUAUGAUGAUGAUGAUGCCUAAAGCUUCUCUAGAAUGUUCAAUCUCUAAUUUGUUUUUUAUUUUUCUUUUUAGAUGUUUGAAAAAUUAGAAUAUGCAUUUAGAUAGGAUGAAUAUCUCUAAACAAUAUGAUGUCUCUUAUGAUAUGGGGUAUAAUAAUAAACACUUUGAAUAAUUAUUACUAUUUUGUUAAUUUUAUAAGACAUCAUAAGUGAUGAAAAAUUAAUAGUGUUGAUUGUUGAAGACAACACUUAUAUUGUUCGAGUAUUGAAUAGGUAAAUAUAUGUAUAUUGUUAUUGCUUUACUAUAGUCAGACUAUCACCUUGUUUUUCAAUUGUUGCCUUAGCCUAAAAGAAGUCUUAUUGGCUUGACAUAGCCUUUUGCUUUUGACAACACUGUUCGGGACUGCAUAUUUUAGUGUUGCAGGAAGUUUUUUUCAUGAUCAUGAUUGGUGGAUAACUGUUAUGAUUUAGAUUUCUCAUUUUGGAUUCUUGAUGCUUACCCCUUUUUUUUAGUGAUGUACUCCUUUGUAUCACUUCUUUUUCAUCUGAUGAUGUGGGACAUGGAUCCAAUUGAUAGUUGGAACAUGUAAGGUAAUGCAAGUUGUUGGUAGAUGUUAUAGUUGGGAUGUGCAAGUAGAUUUCCAUACAUAACUACCCUUGUUGAACUUGAUUUGGCUAUUCUUUUGCUGGAUAUCCGAGGCCAUAGUCAUGCUAAAAUAUGUAAUCAUAUCGCAUAUUGAAGGCUAACCUCUCCAUAUAUCUUUAAUAUGAUAAAAAAUUGAGGGUUUAGAGGUUAGAAUCAACGCGUAUAUCAAUUAGGUCCUCAAUGAAUGAUAUGGGAUACAUGAGUGUAAAAAUCUGUGAUUUACCUUGAUUUCAAAUGGAGAACACCAGCAUCUAGUGGCAGAACUUGAAGGAUUUAGUUUCCACCCGUCAUCAUCGUGCAGCAUGAAACCUAUUGUAUUCUGGCAAAGCCUCUAACCUUAGAACAGUUACCUAGAGCAAUUAGCGUCUAUGGUUGCAUUUGCAGUUUCGUUUUUGUAUUAUGAACACCUUAGAAUAGCAUCAAGGAUAUGUGAAAUUUGUAUUGUAUCUUCUUAUUCUGAAAUUAUUCCAAAAUUCAUCAUGCUAUAUUAUCUGCAUAUGAAAAAAAUCAGCAUAAAAGAUAUCAGGUCAUUUUCAAAUUAUUCAAUUUUAAUGAUUGGUUUUUUUUUUUUUGAUAAGUAAGCACAGAAUAUAUUGAUAAAAGGCCAAAAAGCCACACGUAUACAGGGAGUAUACAAUCUAGCUAAAGCCUCACAACCAAAAAGAAAAACAAAAGAACCCCACUAGCCCUUAUGUGGAGGCUAUCCACUCUAGGGAGCCUAUAAGAGACAACGACCUCUCUCCACUAUACAUUCUCGCCUAACCCCAUAAAAUACAGACAAAAGAAUUUUUUAAUUUCUGAAUAUCUAUCACCCACCCCCUCCCCUAAAAGCAAGCCUAUUUCUUUCCUUCCAAAUGGUCCAAAAGAUGUACAACGGUAUAGACUUCCAUAUCUUUUUCCUUUUUUUCCCUACAAAAGGGUCCCUCCAGCUUAAUAAGACCUCCUUUACAGUUUUUGGAAAGACCCACUGAACACCAACCAAAGCACAUAUCAUAUCCCAAAGGACUUUUGCCACUAUACAAUGUAUGAAGAUGUGAUUUACAGUUUCCUCUUCGCAUCCACACAAGAAACACCGAUUAGGGAGAUGCCACCCUCUUUUCUGGAGCCUAUCUAGCGUAAGCACCUUGCCCCAAGUAGCUUCCCAUGCAAAAAACAGAAUUUUUGUUUGGACUUUAUCCACCCAAAUGUUGUUCUUCGGAAAAUUGUUAGCCACAGAAUUUACCACCAAGUUGUAGGCUUCUUUUACUUUAAACUUUCCGUUUCUUCCCCCUUUCCAAAAAACAGCAUCCUCUUCUAAAGUAGGAUUGAACCCCCUCAAAGUAUGAAGCAAAUUACCUACCAUAUCCAACUCCCAAUCAUUAAAGCCCCUCACAAAUCUUAUAUCCCAAUCACCUUGGCCCACAUUCUGGUCCCACAUAUCUUCUACUGUACCAUUCCUAUGAGCAGCCAUCCCAUAAAGGUGAGGAAACCUUUGGGACAGCACUGUACAUCCGCACCAAAGAUCAUUCCAAAAUCUGAUUCUGGUACCAUUCCCCAUAGUAAAAGCCAUAUUCUCCCAACACCAAUCUUUUUCCUUCAUAAUUUCCUUCCAAACCCCUACUCCAAACGUCCCAUUAGCCUUUUUGGUCAUCCAACCAAGUCCCUCUUGCCCAUAUUUCGCCAAAAGCACUUGUUUCCACAGAUUUUCCUUUUCACAAGCAAACCUCCAAAUCCAUUUCCCCAACAAAGCUUUGUUUAACGGGAUUAGCUUCCUUAAGCCAAGCCCCCCCUUUUCCUUCUCCGUACACACAACCUCCCAAUUAACAAGGUGCACUUUCCUUUCUAAGUUUCCUCCUCCCCAAAGAAAAUCCCUUUGCAAUUUUUCUAAUCUUCGCGCAACCGACUUGGGCAUACGGAAGAGAGACAUUUGAUACAAUGACAUACUAGCCAUCGUGCUCUUAAUGAGAAUAAGUCUCCCACCUUUGGAAAUAUAUUGCCGUUUCCAAUGCACAAGUCUUCUUCUCAUCUUCUCCUCCACCCCAUCCCACACGGCUGUACUCUUGUUAGGAGCCCCCAAUGGCAGCCCCAAAUACACAGAUGGCAUAGAGCCCACCUUGCAGCCCAAUUCCGCUGCCAUCUCCUCCAUCUCUUCCAUCUCGCCAACUGGGAUUAUUUCACUUUUCUCCAAAUUGAUCCUUAACCUUGACGUGGCUUCAAACCAAAACAGAAUCCAACUCAGAUAAGUUAGAUACUCCUUCCUGGCUUCACAAAAAACUAUAGUAUCAUCCGCAAAAAGCAGAUGGGAUACAUGCACUGGCUGCCUUCCUCCUCCUCGGAUCCUACAGCCUGACAAAAAACCCCCUUCAACAGCUCUCCUGAUAAGAUUGCUCAACACCUCCAUUCCCAUCACAAAGAGGUAAGGGGAGAGGGGAUCUCCUUGCCUCAACCCCUUAGAACUUGGAAAGAAACCGGUCGACACUCCAUUCACCAACACCGAAAAUUUUAAUGAUUGGUUAGUAGAUAUAAAUUUAUGUUUCAAUUGUUUGCCUUAGAAUUUUAAAAUAUGUUAGUUCUUUUUUAUUAGACUGUUGUUUCUCUUGGAGUAUGAUUUACAUUGUGGGCUUAAAUUCUAACAGUUUAAACUUUUAGGAAAAUUGGUUGUUCUACAUGAUAUCAGAGCUUUGGUUAACAGGAAGUCCCCGGUUUAAGUCUUGCCCCAUCUAUUUAUCUAUUUAAUUAUUGUAAUCACAAAAAAAAAAAAAAAAGUAAUUUGUAUGCUGCCAGUGCAGUUUGUGCCUUCCACGGCAGGUAUGGGGCUUAAGGCUUUGCUUAAUUGGGAUUUAAGGCUUUUCUUACUAUAAUUAAGUUACAUAUGGUCCUUUUUUAGUUCCUUUCGCAUUUUGCUCUUAACAUAUUGAAUGUUUUUGGAUGUUAGAAGGAUCUUUAUGUUGAUGGUUUGAGUUUGUUACUUUUAGAUUGGCUAAGGGCAAAGAUGGUUUUAGUUGAUAUUUUAGCUAUCAGUGAUGGUUUUCAAUAAGUAUUUUCAUCAAACUAUGUUUCUUAGGAUGAUCUACUUGCUCUUAUGUAGUGGUAAGUUGGUCAACUAAUGAUAGAAUUGGUAGAUUUCUUGGGGUAUUGUUAGAAGAAACCUUUUUUUCCUUUUGGUUCUGGACAAAAUAAAUAGAAUGCAUUAAGAGGUGCCUAGCAAAAAAUAAGGGGUUCAACCCAAGUAUACAUGAAGUAUAUAGGAAGUGCACAAAAUGGAACACUAGGGCUAAGCUACCCAAUCCUCAUACUAUCUACAAAACCCAAAAAGGACAACAAAUGAAGGCCCAAAGUCCUUUUUGCCCAUAAAAAUAAAGACUUUAGGUGCAUAUCUUUUAGUUCCAUGCAUUCAAAGUGUUAGGGAGAAAUGGGGAGGGCUUGGAGAUUCCCCAUUUCUUGUUUGCAGAUGAUACUUUGUUUUUUUGUGAGGCCACGUCUUCCCAAAUGACUUAUUUGAGUUGGUUACUCAUGUGGUUUGAGACCAUUUUGUGUUUGAAAAUCAAUUUAGAUAAAAGUGAGCUUAUUUUGGUUGGGAGGGUGUCGAAUGUAAUGGAGUUGGCUGCUAUAUUUGGUUGUAAAGUGGGUGUGCUCCCAACCACUUAUUUGGGGCUCCCUCAAGGAGUUGCCCAUAACUUGGUAGUAGUUUGGGACGGGGUUGAAGAAAGGUUUAGAAAGAGAUUAGCAAUGUGGAAAAGACAAUAUAUUUUUGAAGGGGGAAGGCUAACUCUGAUCAAGAGCACGCUAGCUAGCCUGCCAAUCUAUUUUAUGUCUCUUUUUUGGAUGCCGAGGAGGGUUUGCUUAAGGUUGGAGAAGAUUCAAAGGGACUUUUUGAGGGAAGGUGGGGCUCUAGAGAAAAAGCCUCAUGUAGUGAAUUGGGAUAUUGUUUGUUUAGACAAAAGAAAAGGAGGCCUUCGAGUUAGACGUCUUAACUCUCUUAAUAAGACUCUCCUCUGCAAAUGGAUUUGGCGCUUUGCUAAGGAAAGGGAUGCCCUUUGGAGAGAAGUUAUUUGUGGUAAAUUUGGGGAAUUGGAAGAGGGUUGGUGCUUAAGGAAGUGAGAGGCAACUAUGGUGUUGGUCUAUGGAAAGCUAUAAGGCUUUUGUGGGAGUUAGUCUUUUCCAGAACUCUCUUUGUAGUGGGCAAUGGGAGAAGGAUCAAGUUUUGGAAAGACGGAUGGUGCGGGGAUGAGCCUUUAUGUGUGUCCCUUCCCUCAUUGUUUGCUUUAGCUAGCUCAAAAGAGGCUUGGGUGGCGGAUUUGUGGGUGCACUCUUCUGAGGGAGGUGGAUGGAACCCAAGCUUUUCUAGACCUCUCAAUGAUUGGGAGAUUGAGAUAGUGGAAUGCUUCUUGUCAAGGAUUCAAGACAAAGUGGUGGUUGAGGAGAGAGAGGAUGAGGUGUUUUGGGCAGUUACAAAGAAUGGAUCCUUUUCUGUUAAGUCCCUCAUUUCUAUCCUCGAGGAAGUAAGGGUAAGUGCUUUCCCUACUAGUAUUGUGUGGAAUGCUUGGGUCCCUCCUAAGGUUGGUUUUUUUUGCUUGGGAGGCAACCUGGGGAAAGUUUUGACUUUAGACCAAUUGCAAAGGAGAGGUUGGUCUUUAGCCAGUAGAUGGUUCCUUUGUUAUGCUCGUGAGGAGUCAAUUGACCAUAUACUCUUGCAUUGUGGGAAGGCAAGGCUAUUGUGGGAGCUCUUGUUCUCUUUGUUCAGGAUGUGUUGGGUGAUUCAAGCUUCCGUUAGAGAGACCCUUUUAGGGUGGCAGGGCUCAUUCAUUGGAAGAAAGAGAAAGAAAGUGUGGAGUGCAGCACCUUUGAGCCUCUUUUGGACAAUUUGGAAGGAGAGAAAUAGAAGAUCUUUUGAGAAUAUGAAGCUUUCUGUCCAAAGGCUGAAAGUUCUUGUUUUUGUGCAGUUUACUAUCUUGGACAAACAUGUUUAUAGAACAUACUUCUAUGUCUUUAGUUGAUUUUAUUGAUUGGUUGGGGACAGAUUGAGGGAGGGAGUAUUUUUUGUUUUCCCCAUCCUUUUUGGCGCUAUUAGGCAGCCAUUGUAUGCACUAUGUGUACUUUGGGGUGCCCCUUUUGGUGUUUUUAUUCAAUUUGCACUUGCUUAUCAAAAAAAAAAAAAAAAAAAAAAAAACUUUCAGUUCCAUGUAAGGUUACUCUAGGUCUUCAAAAGAUCUUCCAUUCCACUCUCUCCAAGUGAACUAUAAAAAAUACAUAAUGGAAUCAUCCUCCAAAUAGCUGUGUGCUUGGUACAGACAAAAAAAGCCCUCUUAUUGAGAAGGAUUUCUCUAAUCAAUUGGGGAAACAGUAACAAAGACAUGUCAAUAAGAGAAAUGAUCGUAGACCACAAACCAUAGGUCUAUUUGCAGUGCAUGAGAAUGUGGGCUGCCAAUUCCUCAUCAUCUUUGCAAAGACAAAACCUUGCAAUGGAGGCUCUCACCAUAGAAUCACUAUUGGUCACCACUUGAAUAAAAUUCUCCUUUCUAUGUUCUUCCACCAUAGAAUCAAACAAUUCAAAAAAAUUUCUACAGGCUUUCAAAUUGUGGAAGUAUCCAUGGUUUUCAAAAAAACAGUUCCCAUUAUACUAUUUUUAAGAAAGUUUGUAAUAGACCAUCCUAUUUCAUCACUCCAACCAUUGGCUAUAAGAUUACAUCCAAUUUUUCUUCACUUAAGCUUUAUAUUUGUCUAGAGUUUCACUAAUAUUUUCAACUUCUUUUUUCAAAGAAGAAACUCUUAACUACAUGAUAAAUAAAAUAGCUAAUUUUAAUUCCUUCCCAUCUUUAAUAGCAGAAUUGAUCCUCUUGUGAAAUAAAGAAAUCUUUAACCAAACUAAGGGCCAAAGCAUUCCCAUAAAUAAAUCUAAAAAUACUCACACUUGAUCACAAUCUCUCAUCAAUUUAUUCAAAAAAAUUUUCUUUGCCUUUUCCUUUUAACUCUUUCUUUCAAGAAAGGAUGCAUAGUUACUUUUUAGCAAUUUUUGCUUUUUCUUCUUUGAAACAUUCUUCAUCAACUUCUUCAUAGUUACCAUUCUUUUUCCAACACAAUCAAAUUUUUUGUAAGCAUCUCUUAAACUUCCUCCAAAUUUUUUGUACAGCACAAAACACAUUUGACCACCCAUGAAAAUGUUUUCUAAUUGGGCAAUGAGAGGUCGGGGACCAGCUCAUUUUUGGUUGCUUUCAAAUAGUCCGUCAUGAAACCAUUCACAUUUCCCAAGGAGCUUUUAUAGGGGGGAGACAAAUUUUAGAUGUUGUAUUGAUAGCCAAUGAAAUAGUAGAUAAGAAAAGGAGAUCAUGGGAGAAAGGAGUGGUCUUCAAAAUUGAUUUUGAGAAGGCCUAUGGCCCACAUGGGUUAGAGGUUUUUGGACCAUGCACUAGAUAGAAAGGGGUUUAGUACUAGGUGAAAAUCAUGGACGAGGGGAUGUUUGUUUUAGGCAAGUUUUGUAGUCUUAGUGAAUGGAAAUGCCAAAGAAUGGUUUAAAGAAACCUGAGGAUCAACACAAAGAGCAUCCGCUUUCUCCUUUUCUUUUCAUCAUUGUAACAGAUGUUUUAAGCAGGACGUGGAUAAGAGCAGAGGAAAUGGGUAUUCUGGUAGGGUUCCUAGUAGGGAGGCGCGGAACUAGAGUGACAUUAUCUUUUUUUUUUUUAAUACAAAUGUGGAAAAGUUGCAAAAUCUUGAGUUUAUCCUAUUGGUUUUUGGGCUCAUUUUAGGACUUAAGAUUAAUUUAUACAAGAGCACAUGUUAGGAAUCAAUAUGAGUCCAAAUUUGAUUUCUAGCUUGGCUUCAUUGUUAGAAUGUAAAUCUUUGAAUGUCCUUUGGCCUAUUUGGGUCUUUUACGAGGGGGGAAGCCUAAGAUUGAUGUCUUUUUGGGACUCAGUCUCACUAAUUUAGUCUUGUUUGUUUUGCAUCCCUAGUUAUUUCCUUUUGUGGUACAAGAUCCCAUCCUUAGUGGAAACAAGGAUUGAGAAAAUGUGAAGGGAUUUUUUCUUAGUCACUUGUUAUUUACAUGGUCUUUAAAGUUUCCUUUCUAGAACAAGAUAAACAGUUCUAUUAUCCAAGGUCUGUAGAUUGCCUACUUUCCUUGUUUUAAUGAGGCAUUACUUCUUGUUUCAUUCCAUUUCAGUGUUUUCUUCCCCUCGCUUAAUGCUUUGUCUAAGUUCCACUUGUGCAUUUUUGAAGAUACUUAUGCUGUUUAUUAAAGCUGGGUGUUAUGAUUCUGAUGGUUUAUCUAUUGUUUGGUUAUAAUUUUUGUUUAAGGUUUUCUGGAAGAUACAUCAUGUGAAUUUCCUACCAAACUAUACUGCUUUUGUUUAUGGAUCUAAACCUAUUAGUUAUGUUCUAUUUCUUUCUUUUUUAACCUUUGGUUCAUUUGCUGUGUUUGGCUUCUGAAGUAGUUUGUUUGCCAGUUCUGUGUUCAAGGUAUAUUAGAAAUAAGAUACACUGCAUGUUAAGCCUACCAAGUUGAAAAUGAUGCUUUAAAGACAUGUUUUGAGGAGCAAGAGCUACUAUUCUAUUUGCCCAUCAAAAAAAAAAAAAAAGGAAAAAGAAAAAAAAAACGAAAAGAGGAACCACUAUUCUUGUCAUGUAACAAGCUAACCCCUAGGGCUCAUGGAGCUGACCUGAAGUAGUAGAGAUUUAGGCUUUGUUGAGUGAGUUUAUUAUUAUUGGUGUUCUCCAGCUUUUUGCUUUUAGUGCACAAUUCUUCUUCCAUCUUUUGUCUUUCAGUGCACAAUUUUUUUUCCCCUAUUUUAGGAUGACUUUUCUUUGCCCAGGCCUUUUAGGAUUUGUGUUUACAAGUGCUUAUUUCAAAUUUUCAGUUAAUAUGGAGUCAUUAGAAAUGUAGCCAGACAGUAUGCUAAUUAUUUUCCUUUUGAUAGGAGACGGUGGACUAACUGUCAGAAAUUCUAUUCUAAUACUAGGAUCAUAUCUUGAUUGAGUGCUUAGUGAUUUAUGAUUGCAAAGUCAUGCAUACCAGUGGUUUAUGACUUACUGAAAGUUCAUACAGAAGAUAUGUUAAAUUACCGAUAAUGUCUAGAUUCAACAGACCUCAAAUUUGAGAUAGUGUAUUGUUUAGUAUGUAGUCUUCCUUACUGGUAUUUGCAAUUAUAGUUGUUGGAUGGAUGAGAAGGGUGGUUACAUUCUUCUAAUUGUAUUCUAAUGUGGCAGAUUUUUUGCAUUCCUUUGAUUUAUGAACAUAGAUCCAUCGUAAUAUUUUGGUUCUUCAGAUAGAUGGCAGAAAAUGAGCAUGCAUAUCCAUUUCAAUUGGUUUGGCAAAGAAUUGCACAUGGCUUCUGAUUUGGUCCUUAAGGCCUAGCAGGUGUUAAGCACCAUUGUAGUGUAUUGUUUUGGAAUCCCUGCAUGUUUGUUACCUUCUUUACUGUUUAAGCAGAUGUAAAGUGCUUUUAGGGAUUGGUUGCAACUUGGAAGUAGUUUCCUGCUCUGCUGUUUUUAUUGGCUGAUGAUUACUUAAUUGUCAAGAAGAUUAAGAACAUGUGUAAUAGAAUGUGUUGUAUCGGUUUUUCUGAGGGAGGUUUAAUUCAUGUUAUGGAAGCUUAAUUCAUGUUUUUAUCUUAUUUAUUAGCGAGGUUUGUACAUCAGUUCCAGCAAACUGGUUACACCAAAAAGUAAUGGUGGUGCUGUUCUCCUAGCAUCAUUGGUUCAGUGGCUUUGUUUUUUAUUUUGGUUUUAAUUCUUAAGUAUAAUUUAAAAGGUUAGUGCACAUGUUUUAUUUGGAAGUUAGGACUAAAUUAAAUAGAGAUAAAUAGUUUCUUACAUGUCUCUCUACAUCAUUGGUAGAUGUAUUCUGGCUUUGAGGGUGAUUUUGUUUCGACAUUUUAGAGUUCAUAUUUUUUAGUUCUAGUUACAAGACUUUUGCUGCUCACUCUCUAAUUGUCUUGGAUGGCACCUUCUUCUGAGUCCUGACACAUUGAAAGCCAUGCUGUCUUUAUAUCGAUAUUAUUUUAUUUUCUGGGUUGGCUCCAUUUAUUGAUUCCGCCUAUGUGAUCCCUUCAAUUGUUUGUAUGAAUUUUUGCCCACAUGAGGUCUUCUAUCAGUAGCUGCUUGUAAAUAGCUGUAUUGGUUUGAAAUUAUUAAGUUUAUAUUUCACAACAACCUCAAUUUAGUUGUCACUUUCUUGUUUCAAUCACUUUGGGUUGCCAACACAAAUCUUGUCCCGACAUCCCAAUCCAUUCUGAGUGAAAAUUUUGGUGGGAGCUUCUGAUUUCUACCACACAGGUUUCUCUCAUUGCUUUUCUCACUUAUGCAUUCCCCUAUCUAUUCUUUUGUAAGUAAGAUCUCUCUAAGAGUUUAUUCCUUGCAAUUAAUAAUUUCUUCUUACAUGUGCUCUCAAUGAUGUUUCUCGAACAUAUUUAAUUGAUUGAAAUUGUUGCUCAUCAUAAAGUGGUACUACUACUAUAUAUAAAAAAAUUGAUUUUGCUUUUCCUACUAUGUUCACUCUCUAUUCCACCUAGUGUUAUCAAAAGUGAUCGCUUGGGACACCGGGGCCAGAAGGGGCAGAUAAAAGUCGCCUCUUGAAGGCCUAGGCAAGAUGGCUUCAAAGAGGCGAUGCCUAGGUGGUCACCUUGGGAUUAGGUGUAAGGCAUAGAGGUGGCGCCUUUGACCAUGGGUUAAGAUUAGACAUACUUAGAUUGUAAUUUAAUUCACUUUAACUUUAGAUUAAACAAAGUAUAAGAUGAAAUAUUAUAUUAUCAAUUAUGGUGAUAAUGAGGAUAGAGGGCUAUCAAUCUAGUCUUGAUGGAAGUGAUGACAAUUUUAAUUUCAAUGAUGAUUAUGAUGAUAAUGAUGAUAAUGCCCAAAGCUUCUUUAGGAUGUUCAUUCUUUUAUUUUGUUUUUUAUUAUGAUUUUUAGAAUGUUUGGAAAAUUAGGAUAUGCAUUUGGACAAGGUGAAUUUCUUUAAAUAAUAUGAUGUUUCUUAUAAUGUGGGGUAUAAUAUUUAAUACUUCGAAUGAUUGUUACUAUUUUGUUAAUUGUAUAAGACACCAUGAGGGAUGAAAAAUUAAUAAUGUUGAUUGUUGAAGACGACACUUAUAUUGGUUAAGUAUUGAAUAGGUAAAUAUAUGUAUGGUUUUUAUCGCCUUACUAUUGUUAGGCUAUUGCCUUGUUUUUGGCCUUUUGCCUUAGGCUUAAAGGAGUCAUAUAGCCUUGACAUUCCCUUUUGCUUCUGACAACACUGAUUCCACCUUAAGCAUCUUGUUUGUGCUCAGUCGAUUAACCUAUCACUUUCAGGGAAGUGACAAAGAUAUUUUCUUGAUAAAGGGCAAAGUUGUUGCUCAACAAGGGAUUUUUUGGGACCAUGAGUUCUGAACAAGGGCUAUUUUCAUGCCUUAUUGGGAUUUCAUUGGACCAUGUACUCUCAACAAAGGAUUUUGUUGUUAUCUUAUUGGUACUUCAGUUAUCAUACUUGGCAGUGUCUGACUCCACAAAUAAUGGAUCUGGUGUAUUUUGUAGGAGUUUUAAAUGUAGGAAUUUGGAUGCUGAUGGUAUCUGGUUGAUACAGGGAUGAGAGAAUUCAGUUUUUUGACUAAAUUCUAUUUGUUCAAGUUCCUGAUAAGCAUUUUUGUUGAUACUUGGAAGAUAUGGUAUUGAUGUUAUUACUUUCUGGGUUGUGGUAUUGAUUUCUAUCUGGAAUGUAAGGUUUAAAGCAUUGGUUUUUAGUGAUUGGUUUAUGUGGUUUUGUUUAUGAACUUCUUCCUCUGGGGAAUAGACUAUUAAGUGCUCCAUUGGUUCUAUAGCUGCCAAUGGAGUAUGCUACCACAUAUUUUGCUUUGAAUCUAGCUGAUGCUUUAACUUGUAUGCAGCUGAGUCAGGGACGUCGCCCUUUUUCUGAGAUUGUAUUCGUAGUCCCUUUGUUGUUGUUUUAGAAGUGCAGUGUGUGACAGUUUGGUUUCUUUGUUUGGUAGUUCACACUUGCAGCCAUAAGUUGUUGUGACUUUGGUGCAUUCAUAGUUUUAAAAGGCUCAAGGCGCACCAAGGCGCAAAGUAGUCCUAGAGCCUGAGGCGCAAGGCGCACCUAAGGCGCGGGCUUUAGUGAAGUGAGGCGCACCCUAAUUUACUUAUAUAUUUUCUCCUAUUUUCCCCUAUAUAUAUUUUUUUUUCUUCUUCUUCUUCACUUCUCCAGCACGGCUGAGGCUAAGGCACGAUUGGGAGUGCUCUCGGGUUGAGAAAGACCAGAAAAGGGGGCUGGAAUGGAGGAACAGGCCAAAACGGCGUCGUUUUGGCCUCUUUUUUUUUUAAAAAGGAACAGGGUCCAAAACGACGCCGUUUGGUCCCACAAAUUAAAAAAAAAAAAUUAGGGCUGAGGGUGUAGAGUUCUGCAACCCGACGGGAGGAAGAAGAAGAAGAAGAAGAAGAAGAAGAAGGAGAAGGAGAAGGAGAAGGAGAAAGAGGGGUGCGUACCUGGUCGGACCGUCGGAGGCGACUCAGGCGAGCGCCUUGCGCGCCUAAGCGGCGCCUUCCUGAAGGGGCGUCGCCUGCCUUCAGGCGAGGCGCUGGAGGGUGGCGUCACGUUGCCCCGAGCCUAGGCGCGCCUUUCACAACUAUGGGUGCAUUGUGAGCAAUAGAAGUGUAAUGAACAUAGGUUUUUGCUCAACAAUGCAAUGUAAAUAGGUUGUGCAUAUUGCCCAUGUAAUAUGUUUUUCUUGGUAUUUUGAAUAGUUGUGAAGUAAAGUUCAUGAAUCAUCUUUUUGUUUUGUUUGUUUGUUUUUUUGGUUAGUUUUUCUUGCUGUUAGUUUUUUAAAUAUUGUGGCUAGCUAGGUAGCACUAUAAUUGACAAUGCAUCUAAUAUUUUAUCUGGUUGUAAAUUAGACAUACUGGGUGUCCAGUGCAACAAAUUUGUUCAAAUUUCUGGUGCUUGCUGUCUAAGCAGUAAUUUGUAGAUGUUCAGUUCAAUGUCUCCUUGUUGAUGCUUCUGCAAUAUACUGUUCUAUUUUGGACAUCGCUGUCCUCUGAUCAGUCAUUAUAUGCUAUAUUUGUAGAUUGUUACAAGUAACAAGCCAUUUAGAAGGAAAAUAUUGGUUUCUCUGGGUUUGGAGAUUCAUUUUUCUGUUGCAUGCAUAUACACCCCUUAUAAAGCUGCGCUACAAUUCUCAAUGGCUACCCCUUUAGCUUUGUGUAUCUACCUCUUUGGGUUGAGGCCAAAACUAUGGCUUCUUUACGAGUGGAAUGGCUUGCAGCCUUAUGUUUUAAUGCAUAUGAAUAGACCAGAUGCUUAAAUGAUUCAAUUUCAGUGUGAUGCAAUCUAACUCCCUUGGAUUACAGCAUUCUCAGAAAAUUGGGGGGUGCAAGUGGUAUCAAAAGUUGAAGUGAUGUAAUCUAUGAAAUCAUCUAGAUGAUCCUUUGCUUACAAUAAAAAUGUACUCAUCUCAAAUGCUUGGUUGUUAAACCUUUUUUUUUUUUUUUUGUCCAAAUGCUAGCAGAAACUUAGUGGAAUGAUCUCAUUCUGUGUUCAAAUACCCCUUCAUCCUUUUUUUAAGUUUAUGCUUGCUACAUAGAUUGGUUAAACCCUAGGAUUUUGUUCAAUCUGCAUAAUGCACGCAUGAUUUGUUACCUUAUUUAUCCAUAUGUGCAUAUUGCUGUAAACUUGUGACGUAUUAUUCUCGUUGCCUUGUUGGUUUAUUUUUGUAGACUUACGGUAAUGUGUGAGAAACCUGAAAUAUUUUUCUUCAAUACCCGUGAUAUGCAACAUUUCAGGUCUUCUAAAGAUUUUCCAGAUAUGCAUGCUCUUGUUAUGCACACAUACAACUCCAACUCAGAUAAUGCUAACUUGCUUGUGGAUCACUUGGGCUUACACAAAGCUCUGUGUGUUCUAUUGGGAUGGAACUACUCAAUGCCUCCUGAUAACUCAAAGACAUAUCAGUUUUUGUCUGCUGAUGAAGCAGCAGCAAACCAGGAUGAUCUGAUUAUGUGGCCGCCCACAGUCAUCAUUCAUAAUACAGUUUCAGGAAAGGGUAAAGAUGGGCGCAUGGAGGGUUUGGGAAACAAAGCUAUGGAUAAUAAGCUUAGAGGUAUAACAUGCCCCUUCAUUCUUUAUCCUCAUUGCUGCUAUUUAAUGUUGGAAUGACCCUCCAAAAUAGUUGGCCCUUUAGUGAGAAAUCCUACGCAUGCAUUGAAUGCACCAAAUUUUUUUUUUUUUUUGCCAUUGUUCAGUAAGUGCAUAUAUACUUCUCAGAUGCAAUAGUUUGUUAGAUUCUGAUUACCAUGGUCAUAUGAAUCUUCCUUGUAGGUUUAUGCUGGUUUACUCCAUCCUCUUAUUGAUGAUUGAUAUAAAUUAAGAGAUUGCUUCUUUGAGUGAUAUGAUUUUUGUUUUGAAGUAGGAAUAGUUUCAGUUAGUCCCUCCCUGAACUAAUUUGUAUUAGGCGUCAGGCACCCAUGUUAAGACACAGUGCACAUCAUCCACAUGGUGAACCAUCAAUUCAUUUGUAUUAGGUGUAAGGACUCCUAGCAUCCGAAAUCUAAUGUCAUUUGAAUGAUCUUAUGGUUAUCUUUUAAGAAGAACAAGCACAUCAUCUUCAGUAGGGUUGUCUCAAAAGGCUCUGGGAAGACUAUUUUUAUUAUGCAACUGUUUUUCUAAUAUUGAGGCCUGAUUGGUUGUCUGACAAAGUUUGACCUUGAUGUAUAGUGAAAUAGUUAGAUUUGUUGAUACAUAACUUUGUUGAUGGGUGUUGCAAAUAAUCAUCAUUAUCAGUGUCCUUGCAUUCUUACCUUUUCAUUAGAUGCAAAACAUAUAGGGAAAGAACAACCGGAAAAACAAACUAACCAUAUACAGUACAAUGCAAGUCAUCAAUAGACUCCAUUUCUCAUUUUCUCUUUCUUCAACCUGUAGCUUCAAUCCUGUAAUACUGGAUGGCUUAAACAAAUAUUCAAAUUGCCAUUUUUUUCCCCUUGGAAGAUCCUUAUUUUCCUUUCUCUCUGAACUACCCAAAAUAGCCAAAGCACCCAGUUCCUUAAGGUGUAAUGCUCUCCUCUAAGUGAAGGCUUUCUUCCUUUCAGAAUUCUACAGAAACUUAAUCUUUUUUUUGAUAUUGCUUCCAUUUCUGAAUACAUGGAUUUAUUUUAAUGCUAUAUGAAUAUUCUCUCUGAUUUGUAAUGUACAAAUUUCUUUGUUCAUAAGUUUAUGCAUUUCUUAAGGCAGGGGCCCAACUUGUCCAACUUGGUUAAGAUUGUUCUCCACCCUACCCAAAUCAACUAAAGCUUGGUCUUGACCAGGCUGUUCAGGUUGGACUAGAAUAAUUGUAUGUUGUCUUUUGUUAAUGCCUAUGAAGUCCAUUGAGGAAAAACAUUUAGAAGAAACCUCAUAGAAUAAGAUAUUAAUUAAAGGUGGCUUGAAAGGGCUUCUAUAAUUAAUGAACUGAAAACAGUUCUAACCAAUGUCAAAUUACAUCUCAAGCCAACUAGCACAACAUGUAAAACCUCUCCCGUAAGUAGAGCCUUCGCAUUUAUUCUUAAAUAUAUUUGUUAAGAAUAUUAAUAUAAUGGAAGCAAUUCAAAAUGUGUUUCAAGUUUGAAUUUUUUAAUUAAUUUUUAUUUUUAUGAUCAGUGGCUAUCUUAAUGUUGGACCAUCUGAUUUUGAGAAACGGAAGGCCUUUAUGAAUUUGGCCCUGGCCAGUCAAUUUUUGCUAAGCACUAUCCUUUGUUUGCAAUGGUAUCUGUGGCAUGGCUCAGUGCAUUUGUUAUGCUUUCAUUUACAUUGUGAGUUGGCAGUGGCUUGGGGAUACUCAACUUGGGACAAAGGGGGGGAAUUUUGUGGACAGUAUCUAUUUUCACUACUUGUGAUCCUUUGGCAAGAAGGAAAUAGUAUCUUUUUUAAGAUGGGAAUGAGGGUAGAGGUGUUCAGCCUUCAUGUAGAAUUGUAAAGUGUUUUGUAUAGCUCUCUUUUAGAGGGUUUAGCAUGUGGUGAUUUACGCCUGUUUACAGGUUUGUAUUUUUUGCCUAAUGCCCCAGGAAAAUCUGCAUAAAGGUGAGCCCAAAUUUGCCUGAUAUUCUGUCCAGGUUAAAUUAGAAGUAAGAUGCCUUCCAAAUUUGAAGAGUUUGAUUCUGCAUAACAGUUUCCAGUUUGAUUUUAGAGUUUUAGAAUUCCAAAUUGAGUUUAAUGAUUCAUGUUUCAUUUGGGAAGAAAUUUAGAGUUAUGUUUGGUUCUCUCAUCUGAAAGCAGUUCUCAAGAACAGGUUAUUGAAACUAAAAACAAAGAACAGUUUUAGAAUUUUUGCUUGAAAUCAUGUUUGGUAAAUAUAAAUUCAGAACAGUGUUCAGAAAGCUGAGUAUUGUUAAAUUUGUUUGAAAAUCUAUUGGAGAUAGUUCUGAAAAGAACAAUAAUUGAAUUUUUUUUACUAUUUUCCAGAGUUCCAAUUUCUUUCAUUUUUAUUAUUUUUAGUUGGUUAAGUUGUACAUAUAUAGGCAUGCUUAAAAUUUAAUGCACAUGUCUAUUUCUAGCCAUUAAUUUGCAAGAUCAAAUAAAAUAAAGUUUCCAUGUAGGAGACUGUUGGAUCUUUACCUUACUUUGAAGCUGCUUGGAUAUUUCUUUACAUUAUUUUAUAAUGGUUUUUGUUUCUAUAUUAGUUCUGUACACCUGUUUCCCUUGAUUUUUAGAGAUUAAUUUCUUGUAGCAUACAUAAAAUACUAAGAUCUCAUGCACAUGUCCAAGCUCAAAGGAAAGAUGUUGCUUUAGGUAGGCAGUUGGUUCAAAACCAUUGUUACAAUGUUUUCCUCCCUUCAAAUCAUAAUCUAAUUUAUAGACAAAUCUUAUUCAGCUUUUCUUCUGAGAUUUCUAUUGUAAUGUUGUGCUAUUUUAUAAAAUCAAGCUACUAAACACAGGAGAAAAGGGGGUUGCUUUUGAUAGAGAGUUGCCUCAAAUCUUUUCUCAAAUGUUUAAGCUAGUGUCAGAAAGGAAUUGUGUAGGCUGUUGCUGAGCAGUUUAGAUGAGUCUAGUUGAGUCAAAAGCAAAUUGCAGACAAUUUUGCAUGGAUGGUAGGGAUUAGCACCCAAUGUUUUAACACAUACAUUCAUACAUGACACUGGUGACUCAUUAAGAUCAUUCAAUUGUUACACUACCUGUUGGAUUGGGCAGGCAUGAAAUUUUUCAACAAUUAUAUAGAUGGAUUGAUAGGUUGCAAUGUUUGAUAAUUAAUAAUUUCCUUCCAAUACACUGGAUUCUGUUAGCCUUAAUGUAAUUUUUCUUGAUUGUGUCGAGUUGAGUUCUUGUUGGUUGCUAGAUUGCUGAAAAUGCUUAGAUGUUUUGCUUCAGCAAAGGACUAACCUGACUGUUUAGUGACCUUGAACAGUAAUAUACUUCCAACAUUUGGAAUUGACGCCUCGAUUUCUUUUCUUUUUUUUUUUUGAUAAAUUAAUGUUGAUUAUGAUUUUUUUUACAUGUAGGUUAAAUUUUGAGUAUGGAAUCUUUCCAUUUAUCUUUCUUGUAUUUUGCAAUGGUUUAGACUUUGUACUCUUUUUAUUUGUUUCUUCUCUUUACUGUUAAAGACUUUAUACUCUUUUAUUCAUUUCUUCUCUUUAAUGUUAAAGACUUCAUACUCUUUUAUUCAUUUCUUUUCUUUUAUGUUAAAGACUUUAUACUCUUUUAUUCAUUUCUUCUCUUUAAUGUUACUUGUUAAGUGUUUGUCCAAUAAUGAAAACCAUGCAAAGCAUUAACUGUUUUCAUUGCACAUGAUCUCAUCAUUUUAGUUUAGUCUUGUUUAAUCACCACUUGGUUUACUCCUAGGUUUCCUUGGGAUUGCACAUUCACCCAAUGUAUGUGUUAUGCAUUUGUCUCAAUGAUCCGAACCUUGUUGUGCUCCUUUAAUGAACAUGUUUUUUCAGUUUCCUCUCAUUCUACUCCUUGAAGCAUGGAUUGUCAGGUUUAGAAGCCAAAUAGUAUUUGUUACUUACGGCAAAAGUAUGAUUUACUGUUGUUAUAUAAUAGGCUUUGGUCAAGCUUUGGUUAUGCGGUGCUGAAUUCAAUGCAAUUUGAGUCAAAUCAACAAGGAUUCAACACAAAUAGAAUUUAUGCUUGGACUGAUUUUAUAAUUUCUCAUGCUCAAGUUCCAAUAAAAAAAGAAAAGAGAAAGAAAAGCUUUGUCUGUACUGUUUAUGUAGGGUUUUUUUUUUUUUUAUCAUGGGAGGUCAGUCACGUGAGAUGGCUUACAUCAAGAGUUUGAGAAAGUGGAGCAGAGUGAAAGGCGACAGAGGGUUGGAGAGAAUGACAAUAAAGUCAAGGAGAGAAUUAGGAGAGUAGGAAUCUCUUCUUCUUCUUGUUGGAUGGGAAUGAAGCCCUCUAUGGUACUUGAAAAUAGUAACUCUUAUGUUAAUUGUCCUGGAUUAAAGAUAGGAUGAUCCCCUUGUUAUCUCGAUUGAAAUGGACUUGAUGCAUAUCAAUUCCGACUCAAUGAGCCAACGCUAACCACCAAAUCAAAACCAUCAAGCCAAUCCUAAGGUGCUCAGUGGUUACCCAAGUUAUGUGAAGUCCAUUUUGAGCAUGCUCUCGACUUGAGGCCUAUUCCAAGAGUCAUUAAUUGGGUUAUCCAUCCUUAGGUUUAAGAAUGACAUUGUUGCGCCCCCAUAAUACCUCUCUCAACUUGACUCCCCUCCCAAUAUGAUGUUCCUGUGACUCGAACCCUUAACCCGUAGCCCUAAUACCAAUUCUUGAAUUGGACUUUGACCAUCUUAUCCAAAAACCAAUUGAUGUCUAGUGAAGGUGGGUCAAACAUUUUAUAACAUUUGACAUCACACCUCAUGGGCUUGUUCAAAGAGCCAUUUUUUGAGUGACCCAUCCUUGGGCUUAAGAACAGCAUUGUUGCACCCCAACACAUCUAUUCACAGUUAUUUUGGAGAGAAUGUGAACUAUUCCUUGUAACAGAAAUAAAACAAUCAUCAUUUUUAAGUGCUUAUGGUGUCACUUUUACCACAAGGUUGAGUAGGAGAGACCCCCUCUCUUUCCAAUAUGAGCAGGCAUUCUUAUUCCAUGGGCAUUUGAGUUGCCUGAAGAUUUACUUGGAGAUAAAUCUGUGUUCAAAAUGUUGUAGCAUUGCAGCAUAAGGAGAGAUGGAAACAAGCAAGCACAGGAGAAUGUAUGGACAUAAUCAGUUGAUUCCUAGAGGUAAAGGGCACUCAAAGUCAUGUUAAUGGAGACCUGUCUUGGUCAUGUGACACACGCAAUAGUCAUGUUAGUGGAUAAUGACCUUGAUCAUGUGACACUAAGUCCCAGGACAUGUGCUAUUCUAUAAUUGUAAUGCCACGAUAAAGCCUUAAUCUCAUAAGCUGAUUGUGUUCAAUACCUUGAUCAUGUGACACUAAGUCCCAGGACAUGUGCUAUUCUAUAAUUGUAAUGCCACGAUAAAGCCUAAAUCUCAUAAGUUGAUUGUGUUCAACACCUGCAUCAGUGGGACUCAAUACGCACUUUAUGCUAUGUUAGUCACAACUUAGUUGCCAUUUAAUGGUCUGUUAAAUAGAGAUUUUCUGUAAGGUACAGGAUGGGUAUUACCCCAUGUGUUUGCUGAUUCCUUUGGCAUCCCGAUUCUUACUUUGUUGUCGAAAUUGUAUUAAAAUUCUCACAUGUUCAUCUGUGAAUUCCUAUCUGUUAGUGGAAUGCAUUUUUCACCAGUAACAAAAUGAGGUGGGCAUCUGCAUGUGAGCUACCUUCUUAGGUUAUAUCUGGUGAACUGCUUUUCUAUUUAUGUCCUCUAUUGAUUGGUUUGCUAGAAUCUGUCACUUUCAACAAAUCGUGUGAUGGUUUGAACAUCUACGGGUUGCCAUUCUGUAGAGCCUCAUAGUGCUAGAAACUAUUUGGAUGGGUUGAAAUUGUCUCUUCUCAGGAUAUGAAAAUGCUAGCUAAUUGGUGAUUUUGAAAGGUGCCAUUUAUGGCUGUUGGGUGCGUUAUUAUGAAACUGACAACCUAGAUGAAUCCAUCAGGAGGAUUAUAUCUUUACAGAUGAUGACCUUUUGGGCUUUGUUGUCCACGCCUCAUUUGAAAGUCUUCUUUUAAUACAAGUUAUUUUUUCUCUUUUAUGUUUGUGGCUUUCAGAUC
This 52216-nucleotide long non-coding RNA is filed under the name Vitis vinifera (wine grape). RNAcentral's name for it is "long non-coding RNA (VVIN_LNC001349)". The record is from RNAcentral. Lineage: Eukaryota; Viridiplantae; Streptophyta; Magnoliopsida; Vitales; Vitaceae.